RNAcentral lists this long non-coding RNA (74623 nucleotides) under Olea europaea (common olive). RNAcentral describes it as "long non-coding RNA (OEUR_LNC002060)". The record is from RNAcentral. Lineage: Eukaryota; Viridiplantae; Streptophyta; Magnoliopsida; Lamiales; Oleaceae.
UUUUUUUUUUUUUCUUAUGAGCAAUUGAGCAUUAAGUUUGCGCAUUAUGGUAUGAUUCUCUUAGACAUUGAUGUUUUCUUUCUCUCUCCUGCAGGAAAUAGUUUCCAUUUACCCUGUUUUAUCACCGCCAAACCUAACUCCAGCACAAUCGAACAGAGUUUGCAAUGCGCUUGCACUACUUCAGGUCUGAUUUAUAGGCUAUGCAGCUGUUAUGCUGUAGAUUAUAUCUUUUUGGUCUUAUAAGAAGGCAGUGUGUGAUUGCUUUGGUGUACUUUCUUGUGUCUUUACUUGGAUUUGUUUCUUAGGGCUCCACUGAUUAAAAAUGGAGUUUGAAUGAGGUUUUUGGAAGAAAAAAAUAGGCGUUGGAUGGAUCGUCAUGAUUGCAUUAGGUUGGGGAUGGGUAGGAUCUGGUAAUACUAGAUUUAUGAAACCCUAGAACUUUUAUAUUUGAUGUUUCGUGGGUGUUAUCCAUCUAUUUAAAAAAAAAAAAAAAAAUCUAGUUAUUCCCAUAAUUGUAUCACUCUCACCAUUGAAUGAAUUUCAGUUGUCAUUUUUUGUUAUAUUUAACUUUUACUCUCUAAUGCCAAUCAUAUCCUUCUCAACAUUGUACCCCAGCAUUGUGUCUUAAAAUUUUCAGCAAUUUCCCAUCUUGACAAUUGGAGAGUCUCAUGCCUUCUUUGUUUUGAAAUUAUACGAAAACCUAUAAAUAUUGGCGGCCACAUGAACUUUUGACGAUGUGAUAUGUUAGAAGCCUCGAGUAGUUGUCUAACAUCAUCUAUAUGGCGAAGAGGUGGGAAUGCAUUGAGAUUCACAAAAUAAGAUUUUAUAAUUAGCUUAUACAAUUGCAGAAGAUGCUUUUAAAAAAAAAAAAAAAAAUCUAAAUUUUAGUUCUCGGGAGGUGUAGUUGGUGGCAAUUCUACUUGUAGCUCCUUAGGUCUUGAUGCUUGCAUCUAGUUCAGAGUUCUAGAUUCAAAGGAGUUCUACAAUUUUUAUGAAUAUUCCUAGUGAGGCAAAUAACUUUAUUGAUGCAUAUGCACUAUUUCGCUAACAAAUUCUAGAUAAGCGAGACAAAACUCUUCAAGUAUGAAGCAUGGAUAUGGAUUUGGUAUGCAAAUGCACGCAUAGGAUGUGUGCAAAAAAAGGAGGCUACAUGUUGGGAUGUGUUGAUUAAGAAAACUGUAUAUCUUGAUAUUGCACUUGGUAGAAUUUCGAAACUAACCAUAGUUGAACAAAUGGUAAAAUUCUAAAUUAUAUUAUCGCAGAAAAAGGAAUAGAUGCUACAAUUCAAUGUCUUCUGAAAAUUUAACAUAUAGUAGUGCUAGUUCGUGUUUGCUUUGAUCUUUAUCUAUGAAAUAGAAAUCGUUUCUAAGAAAAUUGCAAAUCUUGUUCUAGUCGGUAAGUCUCAUGAUGCCCCUGCAAGCAUUGCCAUGGGAUCAAAUUUCCAAAUUUUACGCGUAAUUCAAAGGGUUGCGACGAAAACAAUCUUCAAGUAUUGUUCCUUGUCCUAAAGGUCUUUGAUUUGACUUGCAUCUAUUUAUCUUCUCUUUAGCCUCUUAUGCAUGUUUGUUUCUUAGAGCCUUGGAUUUGAACUCUUCUGCUCACAUUAUCUUCUAAUGCUAUGGCCAAUCUCUCUUUGGUUGCAAGGGGUAAUGGUUGACAUUCUUGACGUCUUGUUUGGCAAGCAAGAUGUUUAUCUAGGUCUCUUAGUCUCGUAUAAUUGACUCUCAUGGAAAAGGGAAUCUUGCGUUACAGUAGAAGUAGAAGUGACGUGGAUUAUUUAAGAAGCGAAGUCAAUUUUUUUUAUGAAAAGAAGAUCAAUAAGUGGGGUUGUGACAAUUGUCCUACAAAAGACUGAAGGUUUAGAUGUUAGAUUGGAUUAUAGCGAGUCUUCCUAGCUGGUAUAAGCUACAAUUGCAUUAAUUAGAGCUACUUUAAGGGACUAUGAGUGGCGUGUUUUGGGGAAAAAUGCCAUUCAUGGUAGCAAAGCAAGCAAAGUAGGAAGAACUUAUUAGGAAAGAUUGAAGACCGAGCGACAAGUGUUGGAUCAGGGUGGGAGUUGAUGUAGCUAGUGUACACUAGGUGCAACUGCUUUAGCAAGAGCUACUUUUAAGGAAGGGAAUAUGAAUGGCUUGUUUGUAAGGCAAAUGACAUAUAGCAAAGCAAAAAAAGGAGGAAGAUCUCAUUAGGAAAGAUUGAAGGUUGGACGACAAUAGCUCAAUUACUUAGGAAAGAAGGGAUUUUUAACUGUAGUUGUAAUGCUGGACUAGGUCUGCCGGUUUGUCCACGAAAUUGGUGGAUUGAAUCAUGGCCCUGUUUGGUUGGGAUGACUAUUGAACCACUUGUGGUGAGGAUGACUAUUGAACCACUUGUGAUUUGUAAGAAUGGGUUGAUAUUUAUAGAACCGGACGGAUCGUAACCCAAUAGAACCUUCGGAGUUUUUUAAAAUUGGCCAGUCAUUUUGAUAAUUUAUCAAAAUAAAGAGGUCAUGUUUUGAACCUAGGAUAUAAAGGUUAUUGGUGAACUUGGUACUAGCAGCUUGCCUUUUUUUGAUUGAUUAUAAAUCUAAUUAAAAUGAUAAAUAUAUGUUAUAAAUCUAAUUAAAAUGAUAAAUAUAUAUUAUUUAUUAUAUUUCCUGGAAGUAUUUUAAAUUUUUUAUUUGUUUUAAUAAAAAAGUAAUUAAGAAAAUAUUAAACACUUAUGUGCAUUUGAGAUUUAGGCCCUAUUUGGUACCCAUUUUUUUCAAAAUGUAUUUUUUUCUCUCCUCUUUUUAACCACACAAUCUUUAUUAAAAUAAUAUUACACAUAAAUCAAAUUUUUAUUUUUUAUUUUUCAAUCAUACAUUUCCCAUCAAUUUACUAUUCUAAAAUGUAUUUUUACAUAAAAAUGGCUUUCAAACAUCCUCUUUUAAUAGGUCAAUUGCUAAGCCCAUGCUUGGUCCAGCUUAAAAUUUUGAAAAAAGUCUAAGUUAAAGCCUACAAUUAAUUUUAACCAUACAUUUCUAGAGAUCCGCAACUUUUGAACCACGAGUUUCAUCAAAUUUUAUCAAAAUUUACCAAAAAUAUGAUUUUUAGCUAUACCAAACAGGGGAUGAAUGAAGUUUUAAACUUGAAUACACAUUAACUUGUAAACGUAGUUUAUAUCAAUCUUAUGUUUUAAUAAAAAAAUUAUCAUAUUUUAAUUUUUUAUGUGACAAUGACCCGCAAAUUGAAUGAUCAACCCAUUGACCUAGUGCUUUUGUAAUGGCUAGGUUUGGCAUUUAUCCUUUUAACUUUUAAGAGGCAAUCUAAUCUCACAUGCAAGAAAUCAGUCCUUAGAAAUUAAAACAAUACAAAUGAAGUUCUUGUUUUUGUAAUGUCAAGCCAUUAUGAGUAUAUUUCAAAAUUCCCUAAACAUAGUAGCAUUAACCCUCAGAGCGCUAACUCAAAGUUGAAUAGCUGAAGGUGGAUUCAAGAGUUGUUAGAAUAAGGUAGGUGAAAGGUGAUUGUGGCUUCGAACAAUGCGUCGAGAAGUUUUAUAUUGUGUGUCCAUAGAAUCCAUCGCCUUUUCAUUGAAGAUAGUUUUCUUUUUCAUAAUUGCCUUCUUUUUUAAGAGAAAUUUUUUUUCAUUGCCGUUUUUCAUUUUUUUGCGGAUUCCUCGAGUUCAAGAAUAGUGUUGAAAAUUCAUUUUCCACACAAAUCAAGUUCACGUAUGCUACUUGUAUACCUUUGUUCCUCGGUCUCUAGUUCUAUGCAGAGAGGAUGUAUAUGGAUUUGUUGCUCCAUCUGUAGUUACGCGUAGAGAGGAUGGGUAUGAUCCACGUGGGAUAUAGGAGCUAUCUAAGUUGCACGGCACGGACAUGACACCUACACGUUGAUGUGAUUUUUUAAAAAAAUAGGAAAUGAACAUGUCGGAAUCUGAUAUUUUAAAUUCAUAUUUUAUAUUUAUAUUUAUUUUUGUAAUUUUAAAAUAGUACACGACACAUAGAAUUUUAGUUGUAUGAGGUGUCUUUAGAGUAUCCCUAAAGUAUAACAUAAAACGGAAUAUAUAUUAAAUGGGACAAUGCCAAGUGGCUAUUUGGAUACAUGUCUUUGAGUGUUGUUCGAGAAGUGAUGGGUCCGACACGACACAUGUUUGAUAUGUGACACAUGUUUGAACUUCACAACCGUAAGGGAAAUUGAUUCAAUAAAUGACUGAAAAGCUCCUUUAGAUUUGAUAAUUUUCAAUUUGCUUCUGGGAAAACGAAAAUGAUCUCUCACUAGUUCACAUGUUGAGUGGAAGGUAAGCAAUGAUUCUCAACAUGGAAAUUGAGAUAUAAAAGUAAACAAUGGGCCAACAUGGGAAUUGCAUUUUCGUGGUGUUAGAAGAAUUAAGGACAUCGUUUCCAAAAACGAAUUCAUAAAAGUUGGGAAGAGGACACGAUUACAGGCCAUUUUUGGAGGGAACUUAAUAAAUGAUGGUUACAGCUCUAUGUCCAGAUAAGUUUUCCUUUCGGCAGUGCAUAAAGUUGCAGUUCUCUCUCUUCAGACGUAGAAAAAUCUCCAAUUAUCAAUUAUUAUUUAUAAUGGAGUGAGUACAAUAUUUGAUAAGAUUUUGACGUGAUUGCUGAUGUAAUGGCUAACCGCAUGAUUUGUGUUUGCUUUUCAAUUUGUGCAUAUACUAAUUGUGGUGCUUCCUCUACUCAAAACCCAGAACCCAGGAGAUUUGAUAAUUGAUAGGUGAAAAAAUAAACUUCCUCGGAGAGAAUGAAAUAGGAUAAACCAUGAUGUAAAAUUACUUGCUUUGUUUGAAUUGACAUGGUUUUAUAUUAUGUAUUUUGCAGUGUGUGGCCUCUCACCCAGACACAAGAAUGCCGUUUCUUAAUGGUAUGAUUUUGUUGUUUGAUAUUCAAAUCUUUCAUGUUUAGAUAUUGAAACUUUUAAGUAAAUGCAACUUUUCUUAAGCUAGCACAUAGUUAUUUCCGUGGGGAUUAGUCAGAGUUGAACGUGUAUUGCACAUAAUUUUGAAAUAUUAUAUAUAAGUAUUGUAAAAGUAAUAUUUGAUAUGAUAGGCCUUAAUUUCGAUCUGCUGUGGCAUAAACAGAAUAUGGAAGAAAACCAAAUUUAUGGUAGAAAUUUAAGAAAAGAAAGUUAUACUCUUAAAACUCAACUUCUGUGAUUUAAAUUUUUUGUGAUGAUGAAAUAUUACAAAUGAGCAACAUUUUUAUACUAUAUUUGGUAUAUAAGAAUUAAUUGCUAAUACAUGAAUUUAAACUCCCACCAAAAUUUCUAGAUACAUGAAUAGAAAUAAAUUUAAAUUCAUCCAUAAUAGCUCUAAAUUCAUGCAGAUCAAGAUUUGAGUCUAGAUUAAUGUGAAUGCUAAUUAAUUGAAAAUUAACAACAUGAAAUUCAUACAUGACCAAUGAUUUUGUAGUGUUUAUUAUAUAGUGAAAAAUGAAACGUAAAGUAUUAUUGAAAUAAUUGAAUUGUAGUAGGGUUAGAAUCAUCCAAAAAAUGAUUCCCGCUUUUAUUUAAUAGAUUAUAGAUAUAGAUUAUGAGAUAUAUUGGAUUUUUUCAUUAAUUGUACAGCUAACUGUGACUAAAGUUCUCUCUUUUAUGUUAAGCCUUCAAUGCUUAUUCAUUGCCAUCUGUUAAAUGCUAAAUUAGUUUUCUGGCUGACCUCUUUUCUGAUGUAGCCCACAUACCAUUGUAUCUGUACCCUUUUCUCAACACAACCAGCAAAUCAAGGCCCUUUGAGUACUUGAGACUUACAAGUUUAGGUGUCAUUGGUGCUCUGGUUAAGGUAUUUUCUAUUUUUAAAGACUUUUUUAAAUGUUAUUUUCUUGAGGUGCACGUAUUCUCUUGACAGAAAAAUGGUAUCUUAAUUAUUGCCAUUUUAUGAACAAGGUAAUUUUGGGCAAUUUGCAAAAUAUAGAUGCCUGUAGAAAUGGAAUAGACUUGCAAAUUGGCUUGACAAAAGAGAUUGCCCCUUCACGUUCUGCUCUACUUUUCUCACGCANNNNNNNNNNNNNNNNNNNNNNNNNNNNNNNNNNNNNNNNNNNNNNNNNNNNNNNNNNNNNNNNNNNNNNNNNNNNCUUCCCUCCCAUUUUUUGUGUGUUGCCCAUAUAUUCUUGACAGGUCUUUUAUUAAAAUAUAUAAAAUCUCCUUUCUACAAUUACAGCUUUGGUUUAAUUUAUUUUUAUGUCAUGGACUUACUAUUUGGAAUGGUGGAUGACUUGAGAUAACAAACAAACAAAGCCUUACAAUCAAUGAAGUUGGAGUUGGCUACGUGAAUCCUUUGUGCAGCUUUGUUUAGAUUGCUUAUUCAUGGAAUAUUCAAAACAAUUAGAUUCUUAGUGAUUAUAGUGGACCAUGUUAGUUUUGUUCUAUCCCUUCUAACACGUUUUUGUGUGAUUACGUCUCUUAUGAAAGAGUUUCUUUGAGCCUAUGCCAAAUUUGGAUUCGUUGAAAUAUUGAAAUGAAUAUGAUUUUAUGCCGACUUCGAUAACAAUUACUGUGAUUCUAUUCCAGCACUGCCGUUUAUUUUCCUUUCUGAUGAGAAAUAACAAUUUCUAUCAUUUUCUUUUCUUUGCUCUCCAGGUUGAUGACACUGAAGUUAUCAGUUUCCUUCUUUCUACUGAAAUUAUUCCGCUGUGCCUGCGCACCAUGGAGAUGGGUAGUGAACUGUCAAAAACAGUUGAGUGCCUUGUGAACAUUUCUUCUGAUUCAUCUCCGUUCUUUCUAGUUAGUUUCUCUAGGAAUAUACCAAUGAUUACCAGGUCUUUGUUAAGUUGCAAUCUAGAUAUGGAUGGUUUUAGAUAGCCAAUAAAGGUUUUUUCUUUUUGUAUUCAUGUGAUUUAAACACGUAAGUAGUUAGAUUUAUUUUGAGUCUUGAUUUCUGACUCCUAUGCUAUCUCACACACCCGUCUGUCAAAGCACCAGCAGCAACUGGUAAAUUAUGAUCCUCACAGGAAGUUAUUAAUGAAAUGAGUUAGUAGUAUGAUUUUCUAGUUAGGGCAACUAAAUCUCUGGCAUCACAAGAGUAUUGGAAUCUCCAGGAUGGAGGAAAUCCGUGAAGGUGUGGUUUUACUUCUAUGCCAAAUGAUUGUCCUUGCCCUGCAUCUGUCCACCGUUCAUUGUCCAAAAUAGCUGUAUUGCUUUUGGGUUUGAAGUGAAAUGUGAUUAUCUGAAAUUAUUCAGCAUUCCUAUUUUUUGCAUUUGAUUUUAACUAGGUGGUGGUGUAUACAAAUGUUAAUCUGGAAUCGCAUUCAAGAGCUUCAGAUUGGUUCACAAGCCCACUUGCUAUAUAAAUUUUUUCUGCCUGUAACCUUAUGUUCCUUGGGCUGCAGUGUAUUCUAUCUGCAGUCAUCUUUACUGUCUCUCAAGCUAUUAGUAGAAUCCUGCUUCCUAUUUUUGUCUCUUUAGAUUGGUACCCUGGGAUUGGGAUCACAUAAUUGAACAAGACUAUUUAUGAGUUUUACAAUUUGACAUCAAGCAUUCCUUAGCUAUUGGUUGCUGGACAUUAUACAACUAUGACAGAAAGGCUUCUAUUUUCAGGUUGCUACAUUUAUUGUGCAAAAGAUUUUGCUUGAUGAUGUUGGCUUAGAUUACGUAUGUACCACAGCAGAGCGGUUCUUUGCUGUAGGUCGAGUACUGGGAAAUAUGGUUGCUGCUCUUGCUGAGCAGCCUUCAGUUAGGCUGUUAAAACACAUUAUCAGGUGCUACCUUCGAUUGUCUGAUAAUGCGAGGUGGGAAUUAUCUUCUUGAUUCACCUCCUUUCAUUUUGUUCAUUUUUCAAAAAACGUUUAUUUGCUGAAAUCGUAUACAGAGCUUGUGAUGCACUGAGAAGUUGUCUGCCAGAUAUUCUUAGAGAUGCAACAUUUAGCAGUUGCCUUCGUGUGAGUACUCUUCACCGAGAUUGCCUACUGUCAGAAUUUUCCUCUCUCAAGCGGGGGAAAGGGUGAUGAUAUUUACUGUUUGAUUCGGUGAAUGUUCUUUCAAUAACUAUAUAUUUUCAGGAAGAUCCAACCACUAGAAGGUGGCUGCAGCAGUUGCUUCACAAUGUGCAAGUGCCUCGGGUUGCUGGUAUGCAAGCAGGGGGAGGAUUCGAUCACUUGCUUGUGAGCUGAGUCGAAAUUCAUCGUCAUCUGUAUAGUCUACAUUGUUGCAUUCCCUGUGCGACAGUGUUAAUAGAAUGUGCUCUAGGACAUGUCUGUUAUAAAACCUCAAAACUAGUCUUAUAUCUGAACAAUUGGGUGUCAUUUUUCAUCCUGCUAGAGUUGUAUAUUGACCCAAAGAGAGGAGAUUGGUAGAUUCCAUUAGCAAAAGAUUUUGAGUGCCUUUAAACUAGUUACUUGCGUAGUGAAAAGAUGGAACAUUUGACUUUUUGAAAUUUCUUUUGGAUUAUUCAUGGGUUCUUACGCAUCAAGAUAAAUGAGGAUGAUGAAAAAUGGAUUGGAUGAAAUACAGGUUGCUUACCUACUUAGGAUGCGAAUCAACCAUGUUAGGAACAGACUGCGACAUUGUUAGGAUUUAACCGGCUUUGAUCAAUGGAGUUGGGCUGGACAAAAAGGACAUUUAUGGUUGUGGAAAUUACACAAAACCAUAUUUUAACUAUUCAACCUUCUAAAAUCACUCUAAGUUUAAUAUUUCAAUAUAAUAAGAAAUUUUAUUUUAAUCAAUAUUUUUAUAAUUAAAAUAAAUAUUUUACUAAUAUACUCCAUUAUACAAACUCUAAUUAUCUUUAUCAACAUUUCUUCAUUCUCUCUCUACCCCCAAGACGAUGUCGUUGAAGACUCCACCAUUGCCUGUUCUUCAUUCUCUCUCUCCAUCCCCCAAGACGUCACCAUCGAAAACGACUCGGAUCGGAUUAGCAACCAGCAAGAUCUGAGCCACGCCACUUAGUUCACGUGACGCUGUCGCUUCUUCGAUGACUUCAAUCCACCGAUGGUGCACUGUGAUGGUGGUGGCGCUCGCGCGUUUGUAUUAUGUGUUUGGGUUAUGUUGAUUGUGGUUAUGGUGGGGGUGAUGGUUCAGGCAAUUGUGAGGGCGGUGGUGCUAGUAGUGGUCACAAGAGGUGGUUUUUGUGUUAGUUUAUGGUUGUGGCGGGGGUGAUGGUUUUAGGCAGCGGUGGGUGGUGGACCGGUGGUGAUACCGUCCUCAAUGGUGAUGAAGUUUUUGAUUUUUUGAUUUUUUUUAUUUUUUCAUCUGAUCUGUUUAGAUUAGUUUUCUUGUGGUGGUUGGUGUUUUUCGAAAUAGUGGUGGUGGUUGAGUAGAUGGCGGUGUUGAUGCAAUUGGUGGUUGUGAUGGUUACGGUGGUGAAGGAGAUGGGGUUGGAGGCGAAGGUGCAGCGUCGUGGUAGUAUUUUGGUAGUGGUGGUGCGGCGGCGACGGUGGUAACGGUGGCAACGACGGUGGUGUGGUACUUGCGAGUUGCGAUUGUGGUGGUGGUGUAGUAAUAAAGUGUUUGUGACGUAUUAUUUGGGAGUUCGUGACCAACUAUCGGGAGUUAGUAAUGGUGGUGGUGGUUUUGGCGACGAUGGUAGUGAUGAGAUGUGGUCACAAGUGUUGGUGGUAGUUAAAAAUUAUUUGAUUGAAUGUGACCAUUAAAUUAGUUAAUCUGUGACCAAUUAAAAAUAUAAAUUGUGAUAAAAAAAUAACGUGUGACAUAAGAAAUUGUUAAUAUGUUACAGAUAAUUUGUUAUUGCAUAAUAAGAUGUGACUUAAAAAAUCUGUGAUUUGUGAUCAAUAAAUAAAUCGUGACUUAUAAUUUUUUUGAUUUGUGAUCGAUGAACAAACUGUGAUCUAUAAAAUUUUCGAAUUGUGAUCGUAAAAUAAUUUGUGACAUAAAAUUUUUGAUUUGUGACCAAAAAAAUAAUAACUAAAUAACUAAAUCAUUAAUUGUGAUCAAAUUGUAUUGAUCUGUGACCUAAAUAUGUUUGAUCAAUAAAAUAAUUAACUAAAUCAUAAAUAAAAUUUAAUAAAAAACUGAUUUUUGAAGUUUGAAACUUGUUUUCUUAAUUUUGAAAUGUAUGAUACGUAAACUCUUACUUAUGAAAUUUUCUUUUUAUAGUUCCAUAUAACUAUUUAACUAAUUUCUAAUAUUAUUGUCUAUUUGCGAUUUAAAUGGAAAAAAAUAUAACAAUAGAUAAAAUUAAAAAUAAUUGGAUUUGGGGAAUUGAGGGAAUAUGUUCUUCAUUCCUGCACCCAGGCUGUGGUGUGUGAUUUGUGUUUGUGGCCUUUUUCCUAAAAAAUUGACGUUUUAUGCGGAAGAUCGAUUGUGGGUUUGCUUGACAUGAUUUGGGGAAUUAAGAAUUGGGUAAAAUUCACAAUUAAGAUAUUUAGUAUGGACAAAAUUUUCAUGUCUAAAGUUUUGAAAAUGCAAAAAUCAGGUUUUCAUUUAUUAAAUAAAUAGAUUUUAUUAAUUGAAAAUAAUAAGGUCACAUAUAUACCAUUAAUGGUCACAUGUUCAUAAUUAUAGGUCACAAAGUUGUUUAUUGAUCACGUAUUAUCAAAUUAACUAGUCACUGAUUAUUUCGAGGACACGAAUGAAAAUUUUUAUAGGUCACAAUUUAUUAAUCAAUCACAUAAUUUUGAAUUUGUUGGUCACAAUUAUUAAACUUUAAGGUCACAAUUAAAUAAUUGGUCACACGUAAUGAAAUAGUUGGUCACAGGUAAUCAAACAACAGGUCAAAUAAUUGGUCACAUUGCAUACCAUCACCACCCUCACCCCACCGCUGCUGACACUACCACCACUGUCAGUUCCACUAUCAACAAUAACCACCCAAUUUUCGGACAGAACCAAAACACCACCACCACCACUCCCUCAACCAAAAAACACCACCAUUCCUACUUGCACCACCACCAUGUCCACUACCCCAACACUGCACCACCACCACUCUAUUACCACCACCAUGAUAGCAUCAACACUGCCAGAGGUACCACACACAUUACCACCAACACCACCACCAACACCAUCAACACCUCACCUGCGACUGUUACUGUUCAAUAUUCGGCAACAGAUUGCAACCGAUCAUGAUUCUCGCAACAAAUCGCCGCUCAACGUUAUGCAAAAACUGGUCGCCAUAUUUGAUCUGAAAAGCGGGGGCAGUGAUUCUUCUCCGUUCGUGAGAGGAGUGUCGCUGCACCAUCAAAACUGAGGAGGUUUCUUCCCAGGCUCGCCUCCGUUGUUAUCGCCGUCGUCAAUCAUCACCGACGAUUGCGACGGUGGUGUUUCAAGAUAGAGAGAAGCAAGAGUAUGAAGACGGUAGAGAGAGAGAAAACAUAAUGUAAAAUUAGGGUUGGGGAAAUUGAAUUGAGAGAAAUUAGUAUUUAAAUUAUUAAAUCAAACCUGAUUUUUGCAUAAUGAAACUUAAGCCAUGAUUUUUGAAUUGUGGUGUUUAAACCCCUGGAUUUGUGUAAUUUCCACUUAAGAAUUUGCUUUUAAGCCCAUUUGGAUAGCAUUUUGGAAGUUUUUCUUUCAAUUAAAAUAGCUUUUAAAAGAAGUUAGUACAAUAUUAAGAAACUUGUUGAACUAGUUAGGCUGGAAUUUCACUUCGGGCUUUUCAUUCUAUUUUAUGAGGAAAUUUUUAUUGGUUGUAGUGCGGGAGAAGCCAGUCGCGAUGACUCCAUCACUAUAUUUUUCUCUAUUUAAUGUGUAUUUGUUAAUAUUGCGCCGAUAGUUAUUACACUGGAAACGUGAUCCAGAUUAGAUUUGUGAAUUUGAGUUACAGUUAUUGAAAUAGGAUUUUAUUCAAUAAGCCUCCGUUCUGGAAAACUCUAAAUAUCAAUUUAAAAAUGGUCUCUCACAUUUUUUUUUUUCACUAUACAUUUAGGCCCUAUUUGAGCUAUAUUUUUUCAAAAAUGUGUUUUUUUAGAACUUACUUUCAAUCAUACGUUCUCCCAUAAAAUAAUGUUAUACAUAAACUCAAAUAUUUUUUCUUUUUAAUUACAUUCUCCAAAUAAUUAUUAUCUCAAAAUGCAUUUUCUUUCAAAAUCUGGAACCCAUACAGGGGCUUAGUAAUAUUAAGCUAUUCACUGUUUAUUUUUACCUAUUUACAAAUCAAGCCUUUGUUAGGAAAUACUCGAAAUUUGUUGAUUCAAAAAGUUUUAUAAUUCUUCAUGAUCUACUUGGGACAAUCAAAAGCAAUAGUCAUGCGUCGAAUUACUAACAACUUACGUGGACAUCAUCUAAAUAAUCAAAAUAUUCUUUACAUAGAUGAUUAUUUAGCUGUCACUUGUUCAAAAGGCAAGUUAGUUGUAAGAUCUUACCCUAUGAAGAUUAAUAUUAAAUCUUCGACUUUAUUGAAACGAAUUAGUGUAGAUAUAUUUAGGUUCAUACACCCUCAUUGUGGACCAUGUUCAUUUGCUUCAUUAGAUUAUUUGCUCAAAUCAUAAAUUUAUGUACUCAAUUUUUCGAUUAUUCAAUCAAGACAUAGAUUUGAUAAUGCUAAUGAAUUUAGAUCUCAAGUAUUCUACGAGUAUUAAUUGAAAUUCUGAUUGAACAUUCGAUUUGAUUGGUUCGUAUACGAUCAAUUGCUUAUCAAUAAUACUUGUUUUUACACUUGCAUUUGGUUAAUAAUCUAAUAAUUUUCACCUGAGUUUUCGGCUAUGCAGUCCAAGUUCCAAUUUCAUCCCUACAAUGGACCAAAUUUUUGCACCAAAGAAGAUUUGAAAUUUAGAUACCUUCAACAUUUAACAUGUGAUUUAUUUACUAUUUUUCCAACUUUGGAAGGGACGAAACUAGAUCAUGAAGAACAAUGGUUUUUUUUUUCUUUUUUCUUUUUGGGAAUAAAAUAACUCUAUAUUAUUUAGAUCCUUUAAACAAUCAAUGUGAGUAAGAUGUUGAAAAAAUGAUUCACUUGCAAAGAGUAGCAAAUCAAUUGCUUGAUGUUAUUUGUUGAUAGAAGAAAAGUGAUAAAAUCAUAAUACAUUAACAUAAAACACUCUAGCAAAAAUUGAUAUUUGUGCCUGACAAUCUAGGAAAUGAAUAUCAAAUAUGUUAGAAGUGUCGUAGCCAAUUGGUAAAAAAGACUAUACCUCGAAAAGAACCGUAUAAGAGAAAAACCAAUUCAAAACUUUAAAUAAAACAAUGGUUGAAAAGAUUGAUCUAUUAAACUAAUAAUGUGAUUGCUGCAUAACUAUAAAUAUUCGAAAAUAAAGAGAUUUUAGUAAAUUAUUUGUUAUCUCAUAAUUAUGGGAAAGAAACAAUAUUAUCUUGGACAAUAUUGUGAACCACAGAUCUUUAAAGGUUGUUAACAUAGAAAUGAUUCGUCAAAAUGAAAAGAAGUUAAGACAAGCAGAGUCAAGUUUGAGCAACAUGUAUGCAUGUAAAGGAAUCAUUUGAGCAACAUGCAAAGAGUAUGAUCCCAAGUUUGAGCAACAUGUAUGCAUGUAAAGGAAUCAUUUGAGCAACAUGCAAAGAGUUUGAUCCUGUUGGGAAUCAACUUAUAUAUGCAUAGCUGAAAAUUAAAAUUAUUUCGAUUCCCAUUGAGGAUCCCUUUGUGUUUAGAUAGAAAUCGUGAUAAAGAUUGUACCUUUGACGAAUUCUGCAAACCUUUUGCUUUUUUUUUUUUGUUGUUCCAGCAAAUUUGAUUCGCCACCCACAGCUGUUCAAUUGUCCAGCCUCCAACGGUGAUCCACACAAAGAAUAAGAUUGCAGCUACCAGGGUUUUCUCCUCUUGUGGCAGCAAGAAUAAUGAAAAUCAUAUGGACCUCAAACUUUAGCCAUGUAUUUAUAUAAACCCAAACUGGCUCGGCCCGGUCAGGUCCAAUAUUUAAUUAAUCCAUUUAAUUAAACCCGGUCCGUGAAUUAAUUAAUCCAAUUAAUUAAUUUGGAAUAUAAAUAACAAAUCCAAUUAAUUAAUUUAUCCAACGAUUGUUAAAUUAACCAAUUGGUAAUUUGCAAUCUUCCAAUUCUCUUUUGUGUGCGACCCAUUAGGUUCCCGACCACGAUGCCUAACCACGUGAAAUAUUAUUUUGAUCUAAUCAAAAUUGAUAAAUUAAAACACCAUUUUAAUUUAUCGUCAAUUCAUAUUCGCCAUCCCUGAUUGACAUCUAACAAUGAGUUAGGGCAAUACAUGUGACGGGAAAUGUCAUGUGGUGUGACAAAACCAAACUCUUUUGUUUAUCGUGAAACUAUAAUCCCUUCGUCAAUAUGAUCCGAUCAAUUACGAGAUAUGGAAGUGUGCCAAUCUCGAUCAUCGAUCAUAUCUUUCACUCCACUAUUAAGUCAAUAUAAGUCGAAAACUCCUUUUCGACUUAUGAGUACACCUUGGCCAAGGAUUUCAUCAUCGACUUAAUUGAAUGAAACGCAGAUCAUAAUCUCCUACUAUCUAAGAGUGACGAAUCCUUUAUUGAUCAAUCACAAUCUUCAUACGAUUCUUGACGUACCCGAACGAUAUCGUAUUAGCGGCCCUUUUCAGAGCAACAUCCAACACCGCCAAAGUAUGACUAUCCUCAUAUAUGAUACCAUGACAACCUCAAGUCAAAGGACCAAUUCCACUACCGAACGUUAGAGAUUAACCACUGACACUCAGAUAGUUAUUCAUGUGGAAUCUCUCGGUGGGUCUCCAAUGUUUUGUUCUAUAAUAAAACAUCCACGUGUUCAUUUAAGUGUCACCACACUUCAACUUGUGAGAUCAGUUACUCGUUUCACAAGUAAGAAAUGCUACACAUGAUGGUCUAUCUGUAAUAACGAUAUCUGUAUCUCGUUAUUACUUACGACCAUGAACGAUUUAAGAUUCAAUCAGAUAUAAUUUGUAUCUCACAAUCACAACUCCUUGUGAUUAACAAAUUACGAAAAUUUGAAUCUACGGACUGCAUUAUAUAUUUAAUUGUCUAUUAAUUAAAUAAUAGAUCUACCAUUUAAAUUGCAUUAAUUAUUUAUCAAAAGUAUUUAUAUCCAAAGUCGAUUAGAUCUAGGGUAUAAUACUUACAAACACCCACUUGCACUAGAUCCAAUCACUUAUGUAUCCAAUAUCAUAAGUCUACACGACGAUCAUAUUUAUGCUACGACAACUCUUUGUCAGUGGAUCUGCAAUAUUGUUAAAUGUGGAAAUUUGUUCUUCUCUUUACGUCAUUUUUAUGUAUUAUCUCUCUGAUGAGAUUAUACCACCUUAAUACAUGUUUGCAUCAUUGAUGAGACCUUAGUUCUUUCACUUUCGCAAUGGCUUUAUUGUUAUCAAAAUACAAUGGCAUGUGAUCAACAAUAUCAGGAACUACUCCAAGUUCAUUUAUGAACAUCAUGAUCCAGAUUGCAACUCUUUGCUACUUCUAAAGUAAUCAUGUAUUAGGUUUCUAUUAUUGAAUUAACGGUUGCUUUACGUUUGGAACCUUCCCAACACACCAUUUAAGAGUAAACCAAUUUUUUUCAUAUAAAAUCUUCUCAAGAUUUCAUCUAUGUAAAUUGGGAUGAGUUAAGCAAUCUUUUAGAUCUACCUCUAUAGAUCAAGUUGCUUCUCCCAUAUCAUAUAUGAAUAAAUCCUUUAACAACCAUUAUUUUAACGAUUAAAAUAUAGGGAUGUCGUUUUCUAUAAUAUUAGGAAUACGACAAUACUUCCAUUAUCUUCUUGUAAACACACAAUUCGUUUUCAAAUUUGAUAAAAUCAAACACUUUGACUUUUUAUCAAAUCUAAGAUUUCAGCUCCAAGAGACUUCUCUUAACCUAUAGCCACGGUAUGCAACUAUUGCAAACAAAACCCGAAUGGACUUAAGUAAGACUACAAGAGAAAGGUUUCAUCAAGGUCAACACUUAACCUUUGCUUCUAGCCUUGCUUUGUAUAUAUGAAUAUUCACAUCCAUAUCGAUCUUUUCUUUUGUAAACUAUUUACAAAAGUUUAUGGGCUUUAUUCCAUCAGGAGGCUUGACCAAGGUUCAAACAUUGUUCACAUACGUCGAGUUCAUCUCGAGUUUUAUGACUUCUUGAUGUCUCUUUUAAGUCAACACUUAACUUUAUUUUUGUUGCAACUAGCAUGUUCAUUAUCCUGGAUCAGUAAUACCUGAUUAGUAAUCAUGGAUUCGCACCUUCUUGAAGGUCGAAUGAUCUUACUAGAUUCACAUAGAGCUGACAUGUCUUCAAUAGUUUUUACUUCUUGAUCAAGAGUAUGUCCCAUAUCAGAUAUGGGAUGAAACUCGGAUUUAUCUCCUUAGUUAACUAUAUCUGUGAACUCUUGAACUCUUUCAAGUUCUAUUUUGCUCCCACUAUCCUCUUCUAGAGUAAACAUUUUCUCUAAAGAGACAAUACGUCGUGAGACGAAGACUUUCUUCAUAAUAAUAGAAUUUAUAUUCAAAUGUCUCCUUUGAAUAUCCCCACAAAUACGUAUUUAUCAAAUUUAGUGUCAAACUUAUCUGAUUCAAGGCGCUUUAAAUAAGCGUCAUGGCCCUAAGCUUUCAUAUAAGAUAAAUUGGGACUAUUGCCUUUCCAUAACUCGUAUGGAGUUCUGUUAACCAAUUUAGAUGGGGCAUGAUUUAGUGUGUUGCACAUUGCAAUCAAUGCAUGACCCCAAAACAAUUUUGGGAGAUUUGCAUGACUUGUUAUUAAUUGCAUUAUUUCUAAUAGUUAACAAUUCCUCCUUUUAGAUACACCACCAUGCUGCAGUGUAUGUGGAGAAGUCCACUGUAAGAGAAUCUCUUUCUCUCUUAGAUAAUCUAAAUAUUAUCUUUAAAAUACUCUCACUUGAUCGAAUUUUAAUGUGAGGGUAUUUUUACCUAUUUGUUUCUCUACUUCUAGUUUGAAUCCCUUAAAUUUUUUAAGAGUUUCAUGUUGGAGUUUUCAUCAAGUAUACAUGAUCAUUGAUGAAAUAAGAGAAACAUUAUUUGACAUUAAUUGACAUGAGUUCAUAUACAUCCCUAUGCAUUAGACCAGUAAUUAUGCUGACCUUUCUUCUUUUCAAGUAAAAGAAAAUUUGGUCAUUGUGUCAGACAUGCAUAAUUUGUACUUGUCAAAAUCAAUUAAUCCCAAUUAUACAUCUCUAUGUAACUUUGGAAUUACUUUUCAUCUAUAUGACAAAGUCCGUCAUGUCAGAUUUAGGUAAUAAUUAGAUUAUCGCAUUUAUGCCUUAUAAUUUCUAUACUCAUUAUAGAAUCCUUAGUAUUAAAGAAUAUAAACGUCGUUUUGUAAUUUAUCACAGCCAUUAGGAUCUUUAUCAAGAUAAACAAGAACAACAAUUGUCCUUAACAUUAAAAUAGUUCAUGUCUUAACAUUAAAAUAGUUCAUGUCUUAACAUUAAAAUAGUUCAUGUUCGAACAUGAAAUUCAUUUUAAUGUUCCAGCUAUGAUGGAUACAAAGCAACAUUUCUCUAAUUCCAUUACUAAGUCAAAAGGCAACGGCAAAAAGUAUGCUCAUACAGGCAAUGCAACAACCUUUGCUCAUCUUCAACGUGUAGGUCAACUUAUCCCUUUCGUAGUGGUUUACUUCUAUUUAGUUUCUCCAUAUUUGUAUAAAUAUGAGAUCUACAUUUGGUAUCAAAUACCUAAGAAACUCGUGAAGUAGACAUAAACCACGCUCUAUUCCUUCCAAUGACCUUUCAUUCUAUAAUGAAAUCAAGGGUCAUUAGAUUUGGUAUUAUCCUUCACUUGGACUGUCUUAACCAUAUUGGGUGCUUUCACAAGGCCCCUUUAGAAUUCCUCUUAAUAUCUUUAGAGGAAUUAAUAGUUUGCCCACUACCAAUUUUGAUAAAGGGCUUAACAGUUCUAAGCAUGUUAAGCAACUUAAUGAGUAUGCAUUCGAGCUUAUUCAUAUCAUAAUUCAUAAUUACGAUGAAUAACUCUAUGACAGAGAUUGCAGAGUUAAGUCAAUACUUAGUUCAUAGUUAAUGAUUGAACUUAGUUGAGACACUUCUCAUGUCAAUCAUCUUCAGUACAUGAGAAUUGACUGAAAACUCUUUUGUCACUUUGCAUCGGUAGACUGAAAACUCUUUUGUCACUUUGCAUCGGUAUAGUUGUUUGAAAGUCUCAUAUCCUUCCACACAUGAUUAUUAUCAUACAACUCUUUGUAAUGAAGAAUUAUGUGUUAACAUCUAUACUCUCAAGUUGUUUUUGUAACUCAGGUGAUAUAGUUGCAGGUAUUACAUACAUUGCAGUACUAUUGUCAUUACUGUGUUCAUUAUAGCAACCACCUCUUCCUUAAUCGAGUCAUCAUCAGAUGUCUCUGGAAAAUGGCUACUAAGGACAACCAAUUUUCUCAUACUUGAGAACAAUUCUCAAAUUGUAGUGCCAAUCAAGAAGAUUUAAUUUGGUUGUUGGCAUCCAAUAUGCCUGUUAAAUACACAUGGUUACUCACGAUUCAAUAAAUAUAAACGACGAAAAGAAAAAGAAUAAUAUAUAAAAUGCAUAAAUUAAUUUAAUAUGGACUUUUAUUAAAUUAAUUAUGCUCCCACUGUUUAAUUCAAAUUUAUGACAUUCUUACACAAAUUUAUGGAGUCCAUACUCGACUCCUAGUGGAUUGAGAUCCCAUCAGUUAUACUAAGACCUUGAGUGUACUCAACAAACCUUAAUAUAACAUUUGGGUAGAUACUAUUAUUAAUUGUAUUUUCAUACAACUCCCAGAUCAUUAAAUUGACAAAUCUUUGUCUUCACACAUCUUAUGCGUUAGCUUAACAUGCCUCUAAAAUUUAUCUCCUUGAGUGUACUCAACAAAAGAUAAAUUUUAGUUAAGUCAAACCUGUCAUUCAAAAAUAUCAAAUAUUUCAUAAUGUCAAACAUAUCCCUAAUGGACCAACCUUGAGUGUACUCAACAAGUUGAGACGAUUUGAGACUCUGAUUUUUCACAUAAUGAUGGAAGGCGAUUAUAAAUGUGACUUAAUAUUUUAUGGAGGGAUUUUGCAUUGAAAGGUCUUAUCGUAACAAUAAUAUAUAUUUUAUUAUACAUCUACCAUGCAAAUAAAUAAUAUAUAUAUAUAUAUAUAUAUAAUAGUGUGGACGAUUAUGGACUUUACUAUCUAGUCUUUUCGAGCCAUAAGGAAGACUAGCUGGUCAAUUCUUAGGGGAUAUUACAUUGAUCAGUAUUAAUGCACCAUCUCCAUGGUCUCCUCCUCUUCUUGUCUCUUUAAUUAGUCUAGUUGGAACUUGUAUCUUAUACUAGUUGGCACGCAAGCCCAUAACAAUAAUAAUAAUAACGGACUCGUAGUUCCAAAAUGAUCAAGAGCUCGUAGGCCCAAAAUAAUAACAAUAAUAACGGGCUCGCAGGCCCACAAAACAACAAGAAUAAAAUUCAACCAUUCAACACAUCCAUAUGAUUGAGUCCAUAAGCAUCCACUAAUAAUAUAUUCAUCACAUAAAUGUAUGUAUAUAUAAUAUGUAAUAUUAUAUCCUAACAUGUUUCAAGUUUCUAGCAAUUAAAGUCGUCUAAACUCUUUUAGACAAAUGGAUCAGAGCAAUUAAAUAAUUAAUUAAUCAUAUUAAUCAAUUAAUUUAAUUAGCGGCAUAUUUAAUUAAAUUCCAAUUUUAAUUAAAUAUCGAAUUAGAGUCAAACUCUAAUUUCAUAAUUAUAGGGUGGAACUAUUUAAUUAAAAUCACAUUUCAAUUAAAUAUCAAAUUAGAGUCCAACUCUAAUUUCAUAACUUAAGGCGAUUGAAUUUGAUUAAAAUUAAAUUUUAAUUAAAUUAACAAAAUUAGAGUCUAACUCUAAUUUCAAGAUCUUAGGGCAAAUUUAUUUAAUCAAAAUCAUAUUUUAAUUAAAUACCAAAUUAGAGUCCAACUCGAAUUGCAAGAAGAAAUAUAGGGCGAGAUAAUUUAAUUAAAAUCAAAUUUUAAUUAAAUGUCAAAUUAGAAUCCAAUUCUAAAUUCAAGAAAUGCUAGGGUAAAUUAUUUAAUUAAAAUCAAAUUUUAAUUAACUAUGAAAUUAGAGUCCAACUCUAAUUCCAAGGAAAAUUUUGGAGUAAGAUAAUUUAACUAAAAUCAAAUUUCGAUUAAAUGUCAGAUUAGAAUCCGAUUCUAAUUUCAAGAAUAUAUUCGGGUGAAUAAUUAAUUAAAAUCAAAUUUUAAUUAAGUAUUGAAUUAGAGUCAAACUCUAAUUUAAAUUGAAUUAAUAUUUUAAUCUAGAACAAUAUCCCUAAAUAAAAUAAAACUCAAUUUGGGGUCAAAGUUUUAAUAUUUAAGUUAAAAUCCAAUUUUAACGAGAAUAUAAAAUGUCGUCAAAUUUUAAAUAAGAUUUUAAUUUGGGUCAAAAUUAAUAAUAUAGGUCAAAACCCUUUGAAAAUAAAUUUUAAAUCCAUUUUAAAAUUCAAAAUCAGAACUCCUUUUGAAAAUAGCAAUCUGACCCCUUGUCAUUAAAAUCAUGGAUAGAUCCUUUCAAUUUUCGAAAUUGCAGAAUCGUCCCUCCUUCUAAAAUUAUAAUUUGACCCUAAACCUAAAUUGCGGGUGGCCCCCUGAAAUGUCAUAAAUUGCAUAUGGAGCCUCCUUCACCAAUUCUCUUUUACUCGAUUUCUGGAAAAAGGAAACCCUAGAAAUCGCCUUCAUUCUUCUUCAAGUUUCGGUCGUCGCCCCUUAAUUAUCGCGGCGGGAAGUCGCUGCUGUUAAAAGCGGUGGCUUCCCACCUCUGCAGCUGCUGCCCGCGUGCUGCUGCUUUCUCUGCUGUAGCGGCGUGCUCGUCGUCGCUGCUGCAGCGGCGUGCUGCAUUGCGUUCACCACCGGCUGCUAACCCUUUCCCUUUUUAUUUUUAUUUUUCGAAUCAGAACCAGAUUUCAAUAUUUUGAAAAAUAAAUUUCUUUAAUUGCUAGAAACUAGAAAAGAAACACAAUAAUCAACUUUUGAUUGUAUGAUGAUGUUUCAACAAACACAAAGUAGGCUCUAAUACCACUGUUGGGAAUCUACUUAUACAUGCACAGCGAAAAAUUAAAAUUAUUUCGAUUCCCACCGAUGAUUCCUUUGUGUUUAGAUAGAAAUCGUGAUAAAAAUUAUACCUUUGACGAAUUCUAUAAACCUUUUGCUUUUCUUUUCGUUCCAACAAUCUUGAUUCGCCACCCACAGCUGUCCAAUUGUCCAGCCUCCAACGGUGAUCCACACAGAGAAUAAGAUUGCAGCUAUCAGGGUUUUCUCCUCUUGUGCCAGCAAGAAUAAUUAAAACCAUAUGGAUCUCAAACCCUAGCCAUGUAUUUAUAUAAACCCAAACGGGCUUGGUCCGGUCCGGUCCGGUCCAAUAUUUAAUUAAUCCAUUUAAUUAAACCCGGUCCGUGAAUUAAUUAAUCCAAUUAAUUAAUUCGAGAAUAUAAAUAACAAAUUCCAUUAAUUAAUUUAUCUAACGAUUGUUAAAUUAACCAAUUGAUAAUUUGCAAUCUUCCAAUUCUCUUUUAUGUACGACCCAUUAGGUUCCCAACCACGAUACCUAAUGACGUGAAAUAUUAUUUUGAUCUAAUCAAAAUUGAUAAAUUAAAACACCCUUUUAAUUUAUCAUCAAUUCACACUCGCCGUCCCUAAUUAACAUCUAGCAAUGUGUUAGGGCAAUACAUGUGAUGAGAAAUGUCAUGUGGUGUGACAAAACCAAACUCGUUCUUUUACCGUGAAACUAUAAUCCCUUCGUCAAUAUGAUCCGAUCAAUUACGAGAUAUGGAAGUGUGUUAAUCUCGAUCAUCGAUCAUAUUUUUCACUCCACUAUUAAGUCAAUAUAAGUCGAAAACUCCUUUUCGACUUAUGAGUACACCUUGGCUAAGAUUUUAUCAUCGACUUAAUUGAAUAAAACGCAGAUCAUAAUCUCCUACUAUCUAAGAGUGACGAGUAAUUUAUUGAUCAAUCACAACCUUCAGACGAUUCUUGACGUACCCAUACGAUGUCGUAUUAGCGGCCCUUUGCAGAGCAACAUCCAACACCCUCAAAGUAUGACUAUCCUCAUAUAAGGUACCAUGACAACCUCAAGUCAAAGGAUCAAUUCCACUAGCGAACGUUAGAGAUUAACUAUUGACACUCAGAUAGUUAUUCAUGUGGAAUCUCUCGACGAGUCUCCAAUGUUUUGUUCUAUAACAAAGUAUUCAUGUGUUCAUUUCAGUGUCACCACACUUCAACUUGUAAAAUCAGCUAUUCGCUUCACAAGUAAGAAAUGUUACACGUGAUGGUCUAUCCAUAAUAACAAUAUCCGUAUCUCGUUAUUACUUACGACCACGGACGAUUUAAGAUUCAAUCAGGUGUAAUUUGUAUCUCACAAUUACAACUCCUUGUAAUUUACAAAUUACGAAGAUUUGAAUCUACGGACUCCAUUAUUUAUUUAAUUGUCUAUUAAUUAAAUAAUAGAUCUGCCAUUUAAAUUGCAUUAAUUAUAUAUCAAAAAUAUUUAUGUCCAAAGUCCAUUGGACCUAGAGCAUAAUACUUACAGAUCCAUUGUCCAUUAUAUUGUUGAGUAUAAUCUAAUAUUGUGUACUCAACAUGCACUAAAUUGUCUGAGAGGAAUAUUCAUGGUAUCGAGGUACAAUCAUUUGAGCAACAUGCAAAAAGUGUAUGAUAGGGGCACUAAAUUAUUGCAGGCAAACAUUGGCAGUAUUGCGCAAAAGUAAAUAAUAAAAUUGAAAAGAAGAUGAACAAUAAGAUUAACACACAAGAAAUUCAGUGGGCUGGUAAUAUGCUUACAUCCAUUGUACAGUGAAAAUAAAUCCACUAAUUUCGAAUAGGGUCAUAAUAUAGUGUUUAAAUUAAGUCCUAAUCAUAAAAUUACCCUUUCAAUACUGUAUCAUACAGUCCAACUUAUCUGCGCCUAACCUAAUGGGCUAGUUAAUGGAGCAAAGGGUCCAGGCAGGUAUGGGUCUGCCCCCUCUGUUCCAUCAACUAGCCCCCAAUAUACAAACAUAUGAGCCACCUAAUCAACGGGUAAGCAUAAGAUACAUGGAGAUGGAUAUGAUUGUAUCUAAUUCUAUGCAUCAAACAAUAAUUUACGAACAAUUUUUAUACAUGUUUUCUUGGUUUUUUUCUCAUUUGAGCAUCGUGAACAAGGUGGAUCUUGUGAAACCAAGUAAAAAUUUCCAAUUAAAUUUAAAAAGUCUUAUCGAAAUUUUUCUUUGUAUAUUUUCCAGAUAGAGGAAUUCGUAACAUCAGUUAACCAAGAGAAAGAGACAGGUGUAUGGAGGAUUGGUGAAGGCACCAAAAAUUCUCGCAGACAUUUUGGAGUCAGUGGCAGCUGCUCUAUAUGUUGACACUGGUUUUAGUAUAAAGAAAAAGUGGAAGUCUGGAAGAUUAGUUUCCUUUUGCAUUUUGCUCUUUCUUAAAUAUACUCAGAACAGAACUGCCUAAUGUUGGUUUGUAUAGCCAAACUACUAAUGUUGGUUUGUAUAGCCAAACUAAGUAGUUACAAAUUUUGUUACUCCUUUAUCAAAAAUAAAAGUUGAAAUGCAUUACGAAAAUUUAAUGAUUUCAAGUUCACUAAGAUGGAAUUUGGGCUUCCCUGAUGGUUGGAAACUGGCCUUGAAGCCAUCGAGGAAAAAAGUGUAACAAGAAGUUUCCAUGAUAAUCAUUACUUUUAUUUACCUCAUCUAAAAGUUUAAGCAUUGAGAUGAGAUGGUUAACUGAGACAAGAUUGAAAUAAAUACAUGUGGCCUCUCUGGAACAACUCAAGCUUUUAGAUGAGAAGGUUAAACGUUACAUUUGUCAUGAAAGUUUAAAUAAGCGUUUGUUACAGAUAUAAGCUUCUAAAUAUUUUUCCAGGAUGGCGACUUUGUUGGCCACUGUGGAAUGUUUUAAGAACAGCUAGUGAAUCCACGACCACUACUCUGUUAGCCAUCUUGGAAUAUUAUCUUGACAACUCGAACUCUAAUCAUUAUUUAAAAGCUGUCACCCCUGUUUCGAAAGUGUUAUUUGAUGCAGUGGUUUGUAAAAUGUUGCACGGUUGAUCCUAAAUUUAAGUGACUUGGAAAUUUUCAUGUACGCAGUAUUUUUCAAUUACAAAGUAAUAUUCAGUGAGUUGGGCUGGCAAGAUUAAUUAUAAAUCUCUCCCACACACGUUCUUUCUGUUACUUCUUUCUUUAGGCCUUGAUUAAACUUCUAGAGCCGAUUGCUAUGCUGGAUAUGGUAAAACAACAACCACAACCCAUAGCAAUGCUCUUUGAGCUGUGCCAAAGGGACUGAAAAGCAUGCUGACAUAAGAUAUCGAGCUAAAUGCAAAGAGAAACAUUGCCAGUGUAUAUGUCAAAGGUGUGGAUUGGUUGUUGGUAGAGAAAGGUACGUUGGACUGAGCCUGAAAAAUCACCGUUUGAAGAUCCUUUUGAGAGAGCUUCCGUAACAAGAGAGUUACUAUCCUCUGCUUCUUCUGAGCAAAAAGAAAAUGCAAAGUUUCAUUCAGCAAGGCUGCUGUUAAUAAGUUGCCGCAUACAAUAAUUUAAGGGGAUCAACAUCUUCGUUGAUGAUCUCAACGGGGAAAAUGACUUUGAAGAAGCAAAACACAAGUUAUAUGUUGUUUGUGGCAAGAAGAAAUGGCCUGAUCCAGAGUACGUGUACUUUUUUUUCCUCGUUACAUGGCAAUUUAGUUUUUGCACAAAUAAUCAAAUGAACCUUUUUUGACCUCUCUGAAAUUUUUUCUGCUCUGUACAUCUCUAUUUGUUCAUCAGUGCUAGACCUUCGCUUUAAACUGUUUGAACAUUUAUUAUCUGCAGACUUGACAGAGAGUUUGGCCAUGACGAUGAAAAGAUAUAUAUAUUCUCCCUUUGUUUAGAUUAUGAAGUUACUUAAAAAACAGAUUACUGAUGAAGUUGAACAAAAUAACAGGCUUCUGUUUUUUUCUCCAACUUUGCCAAGCAAUGUGAGGCAAAUUACUAUACAUAUCUGUGGAGAAUUGUAGUGUAUUGUGUAGAUAACAAAUCUCCCACCAAGGCAUUAAAUAUUUCACGUAUCUCUUUUAUCAACUUCAUAUGCAAUUAACCAAAAAUUCUCGCACAAUUGUUCAAAGCUUUCGAGUGGAAAUGUGGUUGUGAUAGACAAUAUUGUAACAAUCGAGUGUUGGAAGUUAAUAAGUCAAUUUCGACUGCAUUUGUUGAUGGCGAAUAUAUCAUUAUUUUCAUUCAAUGAGGGUUCACCUGUCCCUUUUGUGUUUAUCUUAUUUUUCUUAUCAAAUGUGUCUACAGAUAAUAAAUUAAUGGGUUGUGCUAUAUGUACAUAAUGAUUUAUAUAAUAUUUUAUAUACACUUGAUAUGGUGAGAUAUGAUUGGAUUAGAAUUUCUUUAACUAAAUAAGAAAAACUUCCCCACUCUUUAUUUGAAAUUUUAUCUGUAUGUAAACCAUUAUGUAACUCCUGAUGUACAAGUAUCAUUAUUCUAAACUAAAACCUUGGUUUUUCAAUACCAGGGGCAGAAGUGCAUAAUUUAAUUUCCCAUUCUUGUUCAUGACCAUGUAUGAAAACGAUCUCUUAAUUGUUUGCUUAUUAUUUUUUCUUUAUACCUUUUAUUGUAUUGACUUGUGUGCUUGGUUUCUUGUACCUGGCCGCUAGCAAGGGUAUUUUUGUUAGAAUAAUGCUGCUUGUACGAGUUACAUUACAGUUUAUCUAUAGAUCAGAUGUCAAAAAGAGAGUGGAAAUUUUUUUUUUAUUUGAUCGAAGAAAUUUUGAACCAAUCAUAUUAUGUCAUCGUCUGUCGCUGCAUAAUUCACUAUAAUGGAAAAAUUUUACAAGAGAAAAAUUGCAGUUGCUAUUUUUUUUAAGUUCUCUUUCUCUUUUCAAUGGCGAUACAAAUUUUUUAAUGAUGGCUAAAUCAUUAAAUUAGAGCAAAAUCGAAAUUACAAGCAUUAAAUUCCUAAACUAUUCUUGCUCAACGACAAUUUGACUCCACAACUUAACACUGACUCUGUACAACGGCACUAAUUAGGCUCUACAACUUAAUAUCUAAUUCCAUACUACUUAUCCUUGCUCUUCCAGUUGAGAUCACGGCUUAAUUUCAUACAUAAGCGAACUAGAAUUAUCAAACUGGAAGGAAAUUUUGGCUGUGGUUGUAAAAUAUAAACCAAUUUUGUGCACGGAAUCAGGGAAGUUUUAGUUAUUUUCUUCUAAACUAUACAUUUCCAAUUGGAUUAGAUCUUCCCACCUACCACGGGAAGUUUCCAUUUGGCUGGUUCUUUGGUUAAAGAACGAACAAAAAGAUGCUCAGCCGGCGGGAAUGGAAUGUGUUGUUGGGGAAAAAAAUAAACUGGCAAUUGUUCUAUAGUAUGAACAUCAGUAUCAAAUCUAGUACAGCCUUAAAAAUCAAGUUUAAUCUAAUGUUGUUACCUAAAAACUUGAUGCGAAAAGACCGUAAUGAGACGACAGUACAAAAUAUUUCUAGAUGCCAAUAGACCUAAUGCCAAGCCGCCUCCGUCCGACCAACAGACAGUUAUUUAUUGAAUAUGCCUUUUGUCCUACUCUUGAGCUCUGAGUCGCCCUACUCCAAGGACAAACUUCGAGGUCCUUUGUUUUUGGGGCUCUAUUAUCGUACUCCCUUCUCUCUUUAAUUGCUGCCCUCAGUUUUCGGGGCACUAAUAGUAUGUCAAAAUCAUGCUGCAGAAAGAUUGCAUUAUAAUUCUACAAGUUGCUUGCUACACUACUACUUGUAAAAAUUGAUAACUGCAUUAGCCAUUUACAUCUUUUGAUAUCAACAACAAAAAGAAAAUGUGCUGUCAAGUUGUUUUCUAUACUUGCGUGAUAUGUUCGGAGCAACAUAUUUAUACAUUUGCCUGAUUGCUUGACUCAACCGAUGAAUCCUCGCUUACGAGUAAAAUUAUAGAGUCGAAUCUCCAACAAGACUAAGAGCUUCGACUAAUGUCUCCCGAAACCUAGCAAGAUUGAUUCUUACAUUUUGACCAUUAAGAUAUGCUUCCUUGCCUAAUGGGUCAUGAACGGAUCUGGGAUCGGUAAUGACUGUAUGGUUUCGUCCAAAGACUUUCAAAAGUGAACUCUCCUCGGGCUCAACCUUAUAUCGCAAGUAAUGCACGCCCAUUGCACAAGCUGGGUUGCCAUAAUAGGUGGCCCCUGCCCAUUCUAGGCCAAGCAGAUCAACUUGAACCAUGACUGCACCAUCAGGCAAGAACAACUCAUUUGUUAGGCCAGCACCAUGUGCUGCUACGAAUACAUUGCACGAGUUUAUCAGAUUGGCAAAUAUGUUCAUACUCGAUACUACUUUUGCUCGUGCAACAACAAUUACUCGAAAGCCUAACUCUUCCAUCAGUGCAACCAUUUCAUCUUCAUUCAAAAAUCUUCUUGAUGUUCUCCGAGAUAAAAGCAUUAACGUUGGCCUUUUGAUCUGAGAUACAUGGCUAAACUUGAGAUUAUAGGCUUGUCGAAGAAACUGUCUUAAGUCGUGCAUCAAAUGGCCUUUAGGGACAUCACUCGAAUUCAAAGACAGAUGGCCAUGAAACUUAAGUCCAACUACACCUCCAGGAAAACAGUGCACGCUUUGAUUUGCAGCCGGAUUCAUGACCUCAUAAGACGACAAACGAGAGAUUACCUUGCUAUAUUUGCUUAGAAACGAUGGGUUGUAGUCCUCAAGGACGAAUAGCAUGCGGGACUGAAAAUUUUUAGUAGUAAUAUACAAAGGGAUGAUGAUUUCAUUGAUUUCAUGGAACACGUUUCCCACAAAGCCACUAGACGAGAAGAUCACAGCAGGGAUUUCGUGGUUGUACUGACAAUCUGGUGGCGUAGUGUUCCCGUGCAAAAUCUUGACUGGUGUCACUAUUUUGAGAAGAUUAUGAUCUUCUUGCCUAGCAUAUGGCUUAAUAACAGUUUCUUGCACAGGCUGAUCAGAGGGAACGUAAACCGUCAUCGUUCUUGUGUCAAUCCUUACAGGUUGAUUUGCAACACAAUGAACAGAAUAAAUUGCCGUAUUACAUGCAAAUCCAGUGGCUUUGAGCUUCACUUGAUCUCCCCCUGUUUAGAUGCAUCAAUUUUAUUCAUAUGGUGUUACUAAUUGGGGGUGGGGGUGGGGUAAUAGCCGACCUGCUAGGAGGCUUGAAAGCAGAAAAUCCAGGGAGUUCUGCUUUUCUUCAAGUGUUUCAUUAUUGACCUUUCUGCUAUUGAAAAUUGUUUCUGAAUUAGAGGUGUUUUUCUUCCCUGCCAUUUUCAUAAAACAUCGAAAGAUUCAACCCGAGUUAGUCAUACAGCAUAAUUGACUAAAAAGAACUGAAUUCUGGAAAAGAAUAUGUAAUAAACGUAGAAGUUUACAUUGAUCAAACGAAAUAAAAUUGACCAAGAAAAGAACAAAAUAAAGCAAAGAAAGGAUAAGCAGGAAGAUCACUGGAGUCGAAUGAAAAACAAGUUUUCUAGGCUCUUUAUCCAUCUCCACUAGUUUAAGAACUAGCUACAAGUUCUUGUAUGAUAUGCAAGAGAAGAAUUCUAAUGAAGUAGAUAAAUCUUUUUAGAAGACUAAAAUAUUUCCAGCUGAUGAGAUUUCAUUUAUUUUCCAAUUUUUCUCUGUUUCCUUUUUAACUUUGAUAAUUAAUUCAUUUAAUAUUCAACAAUUGUUAGGCGACUUUGAAAAGGCCCUCUCUUUGUUAACUAGGUAUUAAGCAAAGAAUAUAUGAAACUUGUAGAUUGUUCUCUCUUGACUUCUUCUUUUUUUCUGGUGCAAGUGUGCAAUUACUUUUUUAUCCUCAACUUGUCUGUAAAUACUAUUUAAGAAACAACCCAAGUAAGUGAUUUCAAUAAUCAAUAUUGUGAUGCUUUGAACUUGCUUGAACUGCGGGAAUUGAAUCUUGCUCAGGACUUUGGGCAUAGCCAACUCCCAUGGUGUGAUGGUCGGUGGUCAAAGAAAAAAGGAUUUUCCUAUUUUGACUUGUGAUUUUACUGAAUAAAGUCAUACUGAAUUAGAUUAAUAUAAUUGAAUAAUUUUAUUUGUUGUUUUAAUUUUAUGUACAUGGUCUUGUGAGUUGGGGCCGACGUCAUGUAGUAGGUAAAAAUUUGAUGGAGUUAAAUUAAUUGGCAUUUUGGGUAUCUAUGCAAAAAUUGGGGUACUUGUAUUGCUCUAUUUAAUUAAUUUUUUAUUAAGAAAGGGAAAAUUAUUUAUUCCGUUUUGUAGUUAAAUACUUGGCCUUAUUGGUUAUUUCCAUGUCAAAAUCGUUUUAUGUCACACGGGUGUUGCCUUGGAAAUUGAUUUUGGUGUUUAACAAUGAAGGUUAAUACAAACUGAAUAGGAUAAUGCAAUGAAAAUUUAGACAAAAUUAGGGGUGAAGAAGAUGAAGACCCUUACGUCUAUACUACAACGACUUAAUUAAAGUGGAUAACCUUGAUGUCUACCGUUCCAUCGCGGGGAUGACGGCACCUUCCACUACAAGAGGUGGACGGGGACAUUGUUGGGUUCAACGGACUUACCUUUCGUCAAAAUUAAUCAAUUGGCAUUUUCGGUAUCUACACAAAGAUUGGGUGACUUGCAUUGCCCUCUUUGAUUAGUUUCCUAUUAACCAAAAAAGGGAGAAAAAAUGUUUUAUAGUUGCAUUUUUGCUGAAUAUUUGGUUUUAUUGGUUAAUUUCCCAAUCACUCUAGCUUCUCAAGAUCAAAAUAAUCUGUAAAAGUAAGUAAAUUACAAAGUAUAAUCUAAAUGAAGUUUAAAAUUAUGAUUAAAACCUUAAUCACUAUGAACAACAGCCAGUCCAAAACCAUUAGAGAAACUAACAAGAAAAGCCUGGAAUUACUAAGAGUAAACAAUUCCACGAAAUUUAUUUUGUUAGAAUUUCGCAAUCACGAGAACAAAAAAAUAAGGGCAGGGCUGACGUUUUUGAUGUCCGCACCAUUCAUGCUUUCAUAUGCUAUGAAAUAAUUGUUUAUUAAAUAUUUUUGACAACUAGGAGAUACAACGUUAGACGGCAGCUACCCAGAUUCCUUAAAUUCUUGUCUAGUUAUUGGCUUUGUAAAAGCUCCGUUGAUUUUUGACGACCCAAAAAACAUCAAAAUCUCAUAAAUAGCUUUGGUUAGAAAUUGGUUGUGAUCCGAAUUUUUGUUGAAUAUUUUGAUUGGAAAUACUGUUGAAGUAGUAGUGGGAUUUUAUAGUAGACUUGAAGAAAUCUUGAAUGAGUUCAAGAAGAAUAAGGAGAAUAAUUCCAUUUUUGGUAGAUUUUUAACUCAUAUUUCAUCUCAAAUUUUUCAUUAUUGGUUUUACCCAUUAUAUUGGGACUUCACUUAAUAUUAAACUUUUGAUGUAAUAAUUCUCCUAGUAUGUUAGAGAUUCUUUGGUUAUAAAUACGUGUUGUACAACACAUAUUGAAUUGAUCAAUUGUUCAAUUAGUUAUUGGUUCAAAUCAUGGGCGGAGCCAUGUAGAGUCAACUCUGGGAGAAAACCUGCACAUUGGCCAUAAAAAUUGGAAAACUUGCACUUUGGGAGAAAAACUGGAAUAAAUGUUUGUCUUAAUAAAAAAUUUGUGCCCGCGCUGAAAUUUUGCCCACACUGAAAAUUUUCUCUAGCUCCGCCCCUGGUUCAAAUGGAUCCUUUGUAACUCUUUACUAUUGAUUAUAGUGAAUUAUCCGUCUUUGCCCGUAGUUUUCCCGAAUUUGGGUUUCCACAUAAAUCUUAUUUUAUUCGUGAUCCAUUAUUUUCAUAUUGUCCAUAUUUUUUCGUUCUUUAAUUAUUUGGCCCGAUUAUAACAAGUGGUAAGAGCCAAGGUUUUGGUGGUUCUUCAGAGGGCUAAGGUUACUAAAGCAAGGUCUGAACAAUGUUGAUUGUUUUAGGGAUGAGAGUAUGAAUUUUGAGUUCCGCUUUUGGGUCACAACAAGAUUUUUUUGUUAUGGUAGGGGAUUAUUUUAUUUUAUUAUUAUUAUUAUUAUUAUUAUUAUUAUUAUUUUUGGGGAUGCUGAAGGAGAAGCAAUGUAAGGAACUAAGGAUUUGUUAUAUAUUUUGGAAGGUUCGACGAUCACUUUGGAUGCAACUGUAGCUUAUGAUUUGAUAAGCAGUGACUCAGGUGGAGUCAGUUGUGAUCGGGUUGUUCGUGGUGAUUCGAACAAUAAUGUUGGAGAAUCUUCUAGUAGCUUGGGUGGAGCUAGUUGUGAUCGGGUUGUUUGUGUUGCUUAUGGUGAUUUGAGCAGGUUUGACAACUUAGAUAGAGCUGAAAGUGUUCAUGGUGAUUCAAGCAGUUUUGAUGACUCGGCUGUAGUUGGAAGUGAACGAGAUAACUCAAAUAAGGUUGGCGCGCAAGGUAAUUCUGCUGGUAAGCAGGGUUUGGAUUUAGUUCACAAUUGUUGAGUAUGUCCGACAGGGACAUGGUGGAAGAGGUAGAGUAAUUUGGUGGAAUGUUAUUGUUUGGAGAAUUCUGUUGGAGUUUAAGAGUUAAGUUUUAUUUCUUGUAAUGAAAUUCGUGUCAAGGUGGAGAUUGUUAGAAUUUACUCAUGACCUGAAUUCUUAUUGAGUAUUUUGAUUGGAAAUAUUGUUGGAGUAGUAGUGGGAUUUUGUAGUAGACUUGACGAAAUCUUGAAUCAGUUCAAGAAUGAUAAGAAGAAUGAUUCCCUUUUUGGUAGUUUUUUUACUUCUGUUUCGUUUCAAAUUCUCCAUUAUUAGUUUUAUCCAUUGUAUUGAGAUUUCACCUUAUAUUAAACUCUUUAUGUAUUAAUUCUCUUAUGUUAGGGAUUAUUUGAUUAUAAAUAUGAGUUGUACAAUAUAUAUUGAAAUUGACCAAUUGUUCAAGUAGUUAUUGGUCCAAAGAUAUCAUGUAUAACUCCUUACUAUUGAUUUAUAGUGAGUUCUCCAUCUCUGCUCGUGGUUUUCUCAAAUUUGGAUUUCCACGUAAAUCUUGUUUUCUCUGUGAUCAAUUAUUUUCAUAUUGUCCAUAUUUUCUCGUUCUUUAAUAAUUUGGCCCGAUUAUAACAGUUUUUGGCUUUGUAAAAGCUCUGUUGAUUUACAAAGAAUCCUAGGAAUUGGGCGAAAUAGCAAGAAAGUCUCACAAAUCCACUGUAUUCUAUGUGAAUCAACUAACUUUUGGAGUGCAUUUAUUUCGCUGCUCACAAAUCAGCAGCCCCACUGAUUUAUUAUUGUUCUUUUCAUCUUUUAUGUCUGGUUUUUGACCUUUCAAAUUUUUGAAAGAUGGAAUUCAAUCAGACACUGAUGGACCAUUCGAUUCUAAACUAAAAGUUUAAAACGCCAGCUUCCAAUAUAAAGGGAAGCUCUUUUUAGUCUUUCCAUGGUUUUAAUGAAAAAGGUUGAAGAAAAACUCAAAAUCAUGAAGCAAUUAAUCAAUGUAUUAAGACCAUAUAAUCAAAAAAUGAAAUAUGAAAACAAGCUUGCAUUAUGAAUUGACAGCACAUUUCAAUUGCCCUUUACACUCUUCCAACUGAAAAUGUGGGCUGUUUAUUUCGAAUACUGGUCCCGAUAGAUAUCUAACAAAAUAAAAAGGAUUAAUCUUGUUGUACAUAGGGGGGUACAUAAGGGUGUCCAUAUGUACCCCCUAUGUAUGUGUAGCAGAGUCCAAGUAAAAAUGCAAUACACUUCACAUGCCAAGUUCUAGUCGAAGAGAGGGACCAAUAUCAAUUUCAAAAAUGCGAUUUUUGUUGUGUUCUGUGGUGAAGAAUAGGUCGAAGAACAGGUCAAAAUAAGCUUCCUAACUUCUUCUCCCUCGAACGGGUAAGAAGACUACGAAAAAAAAUUAAUAAUCAGUCGUUUGCAGUAUUUGGAACUCGAUAUUGAAGGAGUUUCUGGUUUUCUUCAAGUGUUUCAUUUUUGAACUUUCUGCUAUUGAAAAUAGUUUCUGGAUUAGAGCAGUUGUUCUUCCCUGCAAUUUUCACUAAACAUUGAACGAAUGAAUAAUGCUAUUUACAGUCAUUCACUAUUGCAGUCGUCAUACAUGACAUAUAUGUGACAAUUAGUGAUUUGAUAAAUGAGGUAAGAAAAAACUAUAACAUUAAUGCAUUAAAUCAGAAAUCGCUAUGUAAGAUGCCAUUUAGAACGACUGCCAUAGUGAGCGAUUAUGAAUAGUAUUACUCAAUUUUUAUUUAUGUUUCCUUUUCAACUAUGAUAAUUACUUCAUUCCUUAUUCAACUAUAGAGAGGCGACUCUGAACAGGUCAUCUCUUUGUGAACUAGUGAUUAAGCAAAGAAAAUAUGAAACUUUUGGAUUGUGCCCUCUUGACUUAUUAUAUAUUAUGCAAUUAUCUCUCUCAUAUCCUCAACUAGAACUAUUUAAGAAACAACCCAAGUAAGAGAUUCCAAUAAUCAAUUUUGUGAUUCUUUAAACAAUUUGGCUCAAGGACUUUGGGCAUAGGCAACUCCCACAGUGAGAUUGGGCGAGGGUCAAAGAUAAAAGGUUAUUUUUAUUUUGACCUGUGAUUCUACUGAAUAAAGUCAUACAUUUAUUCUUAGUGUAUUAAAUUAAUAUAAUUGAAUAAUUUUAUUUUAUCGUUCUAAUUUCAUGUACACAAUCUUGUGAGUGGGGGUUCACAUCAUCAUGUAGUGGGUAAAAAAUUGUUCGAGUGAGUUAAGAAAAUGGGUUACUUGCAUUGUGGUAUCUAUGCAAAAAUGGGUUACUUGCAUUUCUCUAUUUGAUUAGUUACCUAUUAAGAAAGGGAAAAUUAUCUAUUCAAUUGUUGUUCAAUAUUAUAAUUAAAAUAAAAAAUAUGAUCGUUAUCCAUCAUAUCAAACCACCAUAUUUGAAUUUUUAUCUCUUGUGUGGGGCCCAUAAUAACUAUAUUUUUCAUUCUCAUUUUUACAAUGAUAUGGCUCAAACGGUGGCUGUUUAUUAAGUUGCAUUGUUACUCUCAAUACUGUUGUCGAAUAUUUAGUUUACCAAAAAAUAAAAAAAAUUUAAAAUGGUUGCAUUAUUGCUGAAUAUUGAUUUUGAAUAUUUCAUUUCAUUGGUUAAUUUCCAUAUCACUCUGGCAUCGCAAAACCAAAAUUAUAUGUUAAAGGAAGUAAAUUACAAAAUAUCAUCCGCUUGAAGUAUAAAUAUUAUAUUUAAACCCUUAAUCAUUAUGAACAACAGCCAAUCUGGAAGCGUUAGAGAAACUUACAAGAAAAGUUUGGAAUUACAAAGAAUAAACAAUUCCACGAAAUUUAUUUUGUUAGAAUUUCACAAUCAAAAGGAAAAAAAAAUAAGUGCCGAGUUGACGUUUUUGAUGUCUACACUUCCCAUGCUCUUCAUAAACUAUUAAAUAAUUUUUUAUUUAAUAAUUUUGACAGCUAGGAGAUACAACGUUAGAGGGCUACACAGAUUCCUUAAAUUCUUGUAUAGAAAACCAAAUUUUGAUGGUAGAUAGAGAAAUGUUUUUGCCUUGAUGGAAAAUUGAUGCAGCCGUCGAAGAUGAGUCUGUUUGGUAUGACUUCUGCUUAUGCUUUUUGUUAAAGAGCUUCCUUCUCUAAAAAUUCAUUUUACCAAACUCGUAGAUAAUUAUCCAAAUGAGCCUAAAAAUAAUAUAUUUAUAUCAAAAGGAUCUUUUAACUUUGUAAAAACCCUGCCAAACGGACCCUUGAUUCAUAAAGAAUACAAGGAAAUUCUCUGUAUCAUUGUUAAUCAACUAGCCUUUGGAAUGUUAAUCAUCUUUUGCAUUUAUUCUGCUGCGUCAAAAAUCAGCAGCCUCAUUAAUUUAUUAUUAACUUUAAAUCUUUUUUGUCUGGUUUUUGACCUCUUCAAAGUUGGAAAAGAUGAAAUUCUAAUCAAACAGUAAUGGACCAUUUGAUUCUAAACUGAAAGUCUAUAAUCUCAGCUUCCAAUAUGAGGGGCCUCUUUCCCCUGUUUUUAUUACUGAAAAUGAAGGAAAAUUCAAGAUCAUAAAGCAAUCAAUCAAUGUAUUAUUUUCAGAUAAUCGAAAAUUGAAAUAUGAGAAAAAGCAAGAACAAGUUGCAUUAUGAAUUGACAACCUCUUUGAAUUACCCUUUACACACUUCCAAUUGGAAAUUUUGACAUCUUUACUAUGAUAUGUAUUUAUUUAUUUUAUGUACUGAUCCCGAUAGUUAUCUACUGCAGUUAUAACUCGCAAUACACAUGCCAGUUUAAGUCGAAGGGACCAAUACCAAUUCAAGAUUGUGAUUUUUAUUGUGGUUUGUGGUGCAGAAUAGGUCGAAAUAAGCCAGCUAAACUUUUCUCCCUCGUACUGGUAAGAAGGAGAUUACGAUCAUUUUUAAUACCCACUCAGUUUGCAGGAUUAGGUACUCGACAUCAAAUGGAAAAUCGUACUUUGAGUAGCUGUAUGAUCAUUAGAAAAAACAAUUGUAUAGGAUGGAAGUUCUGCCUUUCUAGUUUCAGUUCAUUUGUAACUUGUUGGUUCUACUAUCUGAAAAGACAAUAGAACAACAACCUCAUUGUUCUUGAGUAUAAACUACACAUCUUAUGAUAUCAGAGAAUUCGAUAAAUAUUUAAUAAAAUGAAAACAAAAUUAGAAAUCCGAGUAUGUAACAAGACUAAGUGCUUCAACAAGUGUGUUCCUAAACCUUGCAAGAUUGAUCCUCACGUUCUGCUGAUCAAGAAACACGGUCCUGGCUGCACGGUAUCCCCCUUUUCUGAAGAGAUAUCCGGGAUCAGUUAUUACUGAAUGAUUUCUUCCAUACAAUUUUAAAAGUGUGCUCUCCUCUGGAUCGAUCUUGUACCUCAAGUAAUGUACACCCAUUGGACGAGCAGUAUCCCCGUAAUAGGUGUUUGAGGGCCAUUCUGUACCGAGUAAUUCUACUUGCACCAUAACAGCCCCGGAAGGCAAGAACAACUCAUUCGUAAGUCCAGCCCCGUGUGCUCCCACCAAGACGCUACACGAGUUAAUCAGUUGGGAAAAUUUGUUCAAAUUCGAUAUCAUCUUUGAUCUUGCAACCACAAUCACUUGAAAGCCUAAUUCUUCCAUCAUCAUAACCAUUUCGUUUUCAUUCAAGAACCUUCUAGUAUUUCUUCGAGAUAAAAGCAUUAACCUCGGCUUCUUAAUUUGACUGACAUGCCUGAACCUCAGACCAAAUGCUUCUCUAAGGAAAUGCCUAAAUUCACGCAUCGAAUGCCCUCCUGGAAUGUCACUCGCAUUCAAAGCUAAAUUGUCGUGGUAUUUAAGCCCGAUUACUGAUCCUGGAAAGCAAUGAACACUUCCAUUUGCAGCCGGGUUCAUGACCACAUAAUCGGACAAAUGAGACAUAACCUUGCCGUAUUUGCUCAUAAACGAAGGCUUGUAAUCCUCGAGGAUAAAGAGCACGCGGGAUUGGAAAUGUUUAGAGGUGAUGAACAGGGGAAUAAUGAUUUCAUUAAUUUCGUGAAAAACAUUUCCUGUCGUACCAGAUGAAAAAAUAACAGCCGGAACACUGUGAUUGUGAAGACAAGCCAGUGAAGUAGCGUUUCCUUUUAGUAUAUGGACCGGUGUAAUAACCUUAAGAUUGUCCUCCUGUCUUGCAUAAGGCCGAACCACAGUUUCUUGUUCCCCGACUCCAUCGGAAAAAACAUAUACUGUCAUAUUGCUGGUGUAAAUCCUUACAGGUUGAUUUGCAACACAAACAACAGAAUGAACAGUCUUGUCACAUGCAAAGCCAGUCGCUUCAAGAUUUCUUCGAUCUUUUCCUGUUUACGUGCAGCAAAAUCUGUAAACAUAUCUUUCUAAAUUCUGAAAACGAAAAGAGAAACUAAUCACAAACCUCUGACUAAUCUGGAUAAAAGAAAUUCCAAGGACUCGGGCUCUUCGACUGUUGGAUUCACUGUUCCACUGAAAUCAGUUUCUGAACUAGAAAAGUAUUGUGUCCCUGUAAAUUCCAAGAAUUCGAAGUUAGCCAUGGUUGAAGCUUUAGGAUAAGAGAACAUGUAAACAAAAGUAGAAUUACAUCGUUUGAAAUGAAUAGUAUUCCCCCAAACGAAAUCAACACCAACACAAAUCAAAGGGAGAAUAAGCAGUAAUAUAAUUGGAGUGGAACCAAAAAUUAUCCUCUUAGGCUCCUCCUUCAUCUUCCAAGAGUUGAGAAACCUGUUAGAAGUUUUGGCAUGUUAAGAAACAAAAGAAAUUAAAAAAUAAUAAUAAUAAUAAUAAUCCUUUUAAGUAAUAAAAUACUGUCAUUUGACGAGAUGCCAAUUUAUUUAUUAGCCAUAAAUUGUUGGUUCGUCUUCUGUUUCACUGUCAUUCUUUUCACAGUUUUAUCCUUAUUCUGAUUAUUCCAUUCAAUCGUUUGCAAGAAACUUUGACUUAUUACCUAAGCAUUCAAUUUUUUGUUGUAAUUGAUGACUUGUGCUUGGCUUCUUCUUUAUGAUACAAUUAUUCAUUAAUUAAUCUUUUACCCUUAAGCCUGCGCCUACAACUGUUUUAAUGGACAAUUAUUACCCGGAUAAGACUUAACAGAUUCAAGAGGAAUAACGGUAUCUAGCACCACUUUAGGUGACAGUGGAGCCCACUUGGACUUGUCAUAUGAGUUAAAAUGCAUUUUAACUCCAUUGAAUUAUUGAAAGUGGACCUCCACUUUUAUCGAUUGAUGUUAAAUAGUAUUAUUCAUUUGAAUGUCAAUAUUAUGGUGCUCCGAACGAGUAAUGCUACCUAUCACCAAUAAUGUUCAACUGCAAACUAGAGGGGAGUACCUAGAAUGGAAUUUCUAGAUUGCAAUAAUGAAGAUAAGACUUAAGAGGAACCAUUAAUAUGUAUUUAAUCCUAUUUAAGACAAAAUAAGAGAGUCGUAGUAAGGCUGCUUAGAGUUGCAUUCUUUUUGUCCCCAAAAGCCCCCCACCCCCACCCCGCAUAUGCUUUUUAUGAAAUAAAUUUCAUGGGAAAUGGGACAUUGAUGCCUUACCUCCUCUAGUACAAAAGCCAAAAGAUGAUAAAAGCUACAUACUUAUGUGCAGUGUGUAACAGGAUCUUCACUUGAGACAUUCCAAUUCUUAAUACUCAAUAUAAGAUUUCACUCAAUUAAGGAUUAAGUUAAUGAUCAAUUAAACAAACAAUCAAGCCAAUGUGAAGAAAGCCCAUUGAGGAAACUUAGAAGAACACUAAUUAGAAUGAAUAAAUUAAUUGAGACAAACACAAAAUCCAUCCUAAUUUUCUAGUUUUAUUUCAUAAAUUAAUGAUUCCAAUUUCUAAUAAAAUUGACAGUUACAAGAUUAAUUAAAGAACAUAUGUUUCAUACAUACAAUUUUGCAUGGAUGGAGCCAAAAAUCACGCUGGACCACACCCCAGUUUUAUUUUAUUUUUAUAUUUAUUUAUUUUUUGGCUUCUUUAAACCCUUUAAAGUUUUGGAAAUACUGCAUGAUGGGAUUUGAAUUCAGCAAAUUGGAUUUUUCAGUCUAAAAUGAAACUUUAUUUCGAAUAAAGGGUUGCAUAGUCUUGGAUACUUUUAGACCAAGGAACAAAUCAGAGGUCGAAAUUUGUGGAAGCAUAGACAAGUUGCAUUAUGCUAUUGGCUUUUAGUUAAAGUUUAAUUAGAAAUAAUUAUCUUUUUGAUCAAAUAUCGAUUUGUAAAGAGUGUUGGUAUCAAAUUCCUUUUUAAUAGUUUAUUAGACAAGAUAAUGAUUAUUUAUAAAGACCAUCACAAUUAUUUUCCAUUUCUAUUAUAUUUUUAUUUUUAUUAUAUCAAUAUUAAAUGAGAACCUUCAAACCUCUUCUCAAGACCGGUGUUAAUUGGAUAAUCACGAUUGAGUUGAAUUGGUGAGAUGAGUUCAUUAAGGAGUUUCCAUAAGUGAAGUUUAGUGCAGGGCCAUCAUGGAUUUAAAGAAACUCCUGUAGAGUGAUGCGUCGAUCUUGGUGCAUCAGAAUUGGAAUUGAACAAUUUUGUUGGUGUCAAAUCUUCAAUUUUCGAUUGAGGGAAUACAUUUUUAUUGUGUUGGUUCAUCGUAAAUGAUCUAUAUUUCAUAAUUAUAUUUUUUAACUUAUUUUGAAUCCAGCUGUUAUUAAAAUAAUUCAAGUCUUGAUCUACAUGUAUGUUACGGACACUAAAACACUACAUUAGAAUGCAAGGUCGCCAUAUCGAGGAUGAUCAGACGAUGUCUUGGGUGAAGAUUUGACAUACCUCUUUGAGAGACAGACCAUCAAGUGUUCAUUGUCAUGGCAUGAUUUGUUGUCAUGUUGCAAUUGACUAUUGAUUUAUGUUCCUUAAAAAUUGUGUGUUGGGGAUUGUUUGGAUGCCUCAAUAAUUGAAUACUGGUUGCUUACUCAGUUGUUGUGGGCCCAUGACUUGCCGAGUUUAUGUUAUGUGAAAUACGGCGUAACAUCAAUUAUGCUACAUAAACAUAAUGGCUGACAUAAUGUCAUGUGUCUACCUAUCAUUGGAUUGUUUGAAAUACAAUCAAUUUUUUCAAUUAAUCAUAUCUUGCCAAUAUUUAUUAUGUCAACCAUUAUGUCAAAUAUUUUCUGGCAAGUAGCAUUAUUCGUGUAACAUUAGCACAAGUGUAACUCGUACAUUUAUGUACCUAUCCGUGUUUAUGAUAAAAAUAGAAAUAAGGUCGAAACUAGUUCUUUCACAUGUAAGACUGAGCCCAAAAUACAACGGGCCAACAUUUGGGUUUCAGCGUGACUGUACUACAAUCAAAAUGGCUCUUUAAUAGUCUAAAGGUUCAUGGGCCCUGUACAUGUGGGCCCUCACAUGCCACAAUGGCACAAUCUACACAAAAUUUGAAUAUGAAAACAAAAAGAAAAUAAAAAAUGUCAAUUGUCUUCCUCUCACCACCGAACACAAGAAAAGAUAAAAAGGGGCUUUAUAUUUUGUGAUGAAAAGAACAAAAUUUCAAAGGAUAAAAUUUCUGUCACGAUGGAGUAUUCCAGCGAUAAUCACCAGUUUAUGACACACAAUGAAUUAACAAACAAGAAAAUUUGCACAAUGAAUUCUAGCACCAAUUGCAUCAUUCGACUAUUCUAACAAACAAAAGAAUAACAAAGUAUAGAGUGCAACUCUAUCGAGUAAAGAUUAGAUUUUUGGUGAGCACAACACAAGAAAGUAGGUCUGGGCACUUUAACCGGAAUCAAAUUCUCCUGAACCGAAAUCGAACUGAAAUCCGGGAUUCCAAUCUAGUUCCCGAAAAAAUAAUUUAGGAACCAAAAUCGAGAACCAACUGGGUUCGGUUAGAUUCGAUUAUUGGUUCCUAAACUAGAAUAUUGGGUACUCAAAUGAAACCGAUUUUUAUCAAAAAUUUUUAUUUAUAAUUUAUAAGCUAGAAAAAACAUAUAAAACCUAAAAAUCCUAAUUUUGGUAGUAAUUAAUCUAAAACUUUAAACUCUAAUCCUAAAAAAUAAGGUUGGUUCUUACUUUUUAACUUCUCACCUUUCAUCAAAUUAUUGCAUUUCAGAGGUUAUUAUAUGUUAAUAUUUAUAAUUUGAGAUUUUUAUAAAUUAAAAAUUUCAAACAGAUUGUAAUAUAAGUUGAUGAAUCAAAGCGUUCAUUUUUUUGCAAUUAAAACUUUUUACUUUCUUGUAUCAUUAAUAAACUUAAGUGAUUUUUUUUUUUAAUUUUUUCAUAAUACAUGGCAAUUGAAUUUGAUAUAUUCAUUACUCGCGCUGAGUUGUAUCUUUUUGUUAUUUUGAGUUCAUGAUUCUCUUUUAAAAUAUUUAUUUUUUAUUUAAAAAGAGCGAGUUCAAUAUGUGGACCGUAAUUUUUUGACGCUAUGUUAGCUAUGUAUAUAAUUAAUAUUUUUUAUAUCAGUUCAUUUUAUAAGUAUAAGAAUUGAAGCAUUGUUCAUAAUUAAAUUAUAUACCUAGCAUGCAUCUCUUAGAGAUUGAAUAAGAUUUAUUAAGUAAAGUAAUUUUUUCUCAAAUUAUAAUUUCAUUUUUGAUUUUUUUCCCUAUUAUCGUGACUUUUGGUAUCCAAUAUUUUACUUUUUGAAUAUUUUUUAACUGAAUUUUCUCCAUUGCACAUAUAUUUUCGAAUAGUUGCGUAUUAGGUAUAUGUACCAAAAGGGUGUAUAUGUGAAAUAUCUAUUAAAUAAAUGUAUAAAAAAAUGUUAUGGGUAGAAUCGAAAUCGAAUCGGAACUGAAAGUUCGAAUUUGGGUUUGAUUCUAGUAUUUACAAAAACUUGAAUGGUUUCAUUGCGAAAUACUCUAAGCAUAAUGGGUGGUUCUCAAUAUUGAAAUACGUGGACUGACUCACCCAAUGCCAAGACCUACAAGAAAGUAUUGUUUAUUCAACAUCAUCCAAUUUCCACGCAAUAUGUCCAAUACCAACCCAAAACUGGUGUUAGUCAUGUUGUAUACAAAAAACAAUUUUGAAUAAUUUAUUAAGUUAUGGAGGCCAGUUACUGUUGCUUUGUGAAAUUUGUACGUUGAUUGACCUUAAUAGAAAGUUUUCAUUAGAAUUUUGUAAUUAUCAUAAACAAGAGAUAGGUUAAAAAAUAUAUUGUGUCCGAUUUUUCUCUCAUAACAUUUUUUUUCAUUAUAUUGAAUUAUUGUAGUGGCAGACGAAAACGCGGUUUCAGGUUGAGGGAACAUCCAUAAAUCUUGUAUGUUCUUUUGUAUGUUUAUAUUUUACAACGAUUUUAUUGCUCUUAAUAAUAUAGAAUUAGAAUUUCUAAUUCUCAACAUAACUCGUUAUCUAAGUCCUUCACGUAAUAUUUCCAAAAGGGAGUAAGAAAUUUGGGUUAGGGUUUUUAUUGCCCGAGCUGUGUUUGUUUUGGGUUUUUACUGCAAUUAGUAGAUCAAAUUCUAGUAACAUAGUUGAAAACUUGACAGGUAUACCUUAAUUAUGUCAUUGAGUUUCAAAUGAAACUGCAUGUCAUUGUUUUUUAACAAUUAGUGUUGUAAUUAACUUCAUAUCAUUUCGUGCCUAUCAAAUCAACCAUUUACUUGUUUGACAUGUUAAAUUAGAUAAAAUAAAUGAUAAGUUUUCAAACAUUUCUAAUAAUUUUGUUCGGUGUUAUACGUCUAAAUAUAAAAAUAUAGAAUUUUAGAAUAGAGUGUGAUAUUGAUAGCUACAAGGUUCAUAGUUACACAACCCCGGAUUCUUCAUACGUUUCAUACAUACAAUUUUGCGUGGAUGAAGCCAAAAAUGGCGCUGGACCCCCCAUCCCCAUCCCCAUCCCCAUCCCCCCAUCUCAUUUUUAUUUUUAUUUUUUUGUUUCUUUAAAUCCUUAAAAGUUUUGGCAUCACACAAAUUAUGGGAUUCGAAUUCCGAAACUUGGAUUUUUCAGAAACUUUAUUUUAAAUAAAGGGUCGAGUGGUCAUGGAUAAUUUUAUUUUAAUAUUUUCUUUUAUAAAUUUAAAAUUUCAUAAACGUAUUAAAUCAAUGGAAGACCAAGGAACAAAUCAGAGGUUGAAAUUUUUGGAAGCAUAGACAAGUUGCAUUGUGCCAUUGGCUUUUAGUUAAAGAUUAAUUACAAAUACUUAUCUUUUUGAUUACUUGUCAACUGUGAAAAGGAAAUAAUUGCAGCAAAAACUCUAAACCUUUAAAUCAUUAGCAGUCUUUCUCCAAACUUUUGAUUUAUUGCAACCGUCACUCUAACAUUUCCAAAUGUUGCAAGAGAGACCCUUUUGGAUAGUUUCCAUUCAAACGUCUGUUAGUUGAUCACCCAAAAAAAAGAUUGACCACUUUCUACGAAAAUAGGGAAGGAUAAAUUCAUGCAUACACUCAAAAAACUAAUAUCCAAAUAAGUUACUGUUUAUUUCCUUCCAAAUGUAAUAGAUUAUCAAUUUCUCACUAUUUUAUCAACAUAUUGAAUUGAAGGUAGAAGAAAUGGAUAUGCCAGUUUGCAGUUGUGGAGCCCUGCUCAGAUGAAAACAUCGUGGACUUAUUUCAACCCAGGCAAGCGAUUUCUUACCUGUCCACGUGAAAAUAGAUUUGCAAGACUGUACAUUAUUUCUUUGGUGGAAUCUCCCAAUGUGUCAGAAUUAAGGGAGCUAAUACCUAAUCUUCUUCGGUCGAAGCGAGAGAUGGAAGCUGAAAUUAGGCAACUCUGUUAGAAUGGAGGAGGUGUAUGGAUGAUUUGGUUUUGCGGGUUCGUCUAUGGAAUGAUUGUAAAAUGGAUCUACAGAUAAAUCUGUGUUGGGUUUUAGGGGUUUUUUGUUGAAUAUGUAAUCCUUCUUCCAUAAUAAUGUAACUAAAGUUAAUGGGUGUAAAGUGCAGAUUACAAAUAAAAUUAUGAAAUCCAACAAAAAAGGAAGAUUAUAGAUCUAAAAAAAACCCCAAAAAACCAAAUCUUCCAUACACCAACUCCAUUCGAAGUUUCAAACGGAGUUACCUAAUUUCAGCUUUCGUCUCUCGCCUCGAUCAUAGAGGACCAGGUAUCAACUCCCUUGAUCUCUAACACAUUGCGAAAUCCCACUAAACAAGAAUGUAUAGCCUUGUAGAUCCAUUCCGCGUGGACAGGUAAAAAAUCAUCUGCCUGGGUUCAAAUUAGUCCACGAUGUCUUCAUCUGAGCAGGGGUUCUGCAACUGCAAACUGGUGGCAUUUCCAUUUCUUCUACCUUCAAUUCAGUAUGUUGAUAAAGAGUGAGAAAUUGACAAUUUAUUAGGGUGUACUCUACUACAUUUGGAGGGAAAUAAAUAGUAAUUUCUUUGGAGGUUAGUAUUUUAAGUUUAUGAACGAAUUUACCCUCCCUUAUUUUGGUAAAAACUGGUCAAUCUUUUUUUGGGAGGUCAACUAACAGACACUCGGAUGGAAACAGUCCAAAAAUGCCUCAUCUACAAUAUUUGGAAAGGUCAAGGGUGACAACUCCAACGAAUUAAAAGUUUGAGAAAAGUCUACUUAUGUUUUAAAGGUUUAGAACUUUUGUUGCAAUUAUCCUUGUGAAAAGUGUAGGAAUCCAAUUCCUUUUUAAUAGUGUUAUUAGACAAGAAGGAUUAAUCAUUUGUGAACCAUCAAAAUUAUUUUCCCUUUUUAUUAAAUUUUAUUAUUUUUGUGAAAUCAAUAUUAUGCUAAGGAGUACCUUCAAAACUCUACUUAUGACUUGUGUUAAGGGGAUAAUCAUGAUUUAGUUGAAUUGGUGAGAUGAGUUUUAAGGAAGAUUAGUGCAGGGCAAUCAUGGAUUUAAAGAAAGUUCGAUAGAGUGAUGUGUCCUUCGUGCAUCUGAAUUGGAGUUAAACAUUUGUUGGUGUUAAAUCUUUCGAUUGUGGGAAUACAUUCAUAUUGUGUUGGUUUAUAGAUUUUAUAAUCACUUCUUUUAUUCGAUUUGCCUGAAUCCGACGUCAAUAAAAGAAGCCAAGCCUCGACCCACAUGUAUGUUACGCACACUAGAAAACUAUGUCAAAUGCAAGGCCACCAUAUUAGGGAUGAUCUAACCCCCCGGGGCAUAGUCCAGUAGUGCAAAGGACGGGAGUGAGGUUAUUUCACGCCUUGUUGGUGGUCGCAGCGUGGGGGUUCGAUUCCUGAGGCAUAGAACUGGACUCCUUGUAGGCGCAGUGUAGAGACAGCUCUUGUUCCCUAACCUGCUGGAACACAUUCCGCAAUUUACCUUCCUCACAAAACUCUAGGGAUGAAGCGGUGGGAGCACUCAAGGUUGGAGUUCAACCUUUUUUUAUUUUAUUCGGGAUGAUCUAAUGACUUCUUGCACUCUUAACACUUAGGUCAACUAUCGACUUUUGGAGAAACAAAUGGAGAGAAUAUUGGCUUGUGUGAAAGAUUUGAUAUCCCUAUAUUGAUUUAGGUGAAGGAUUUGACAUACCUCUUAGAGAGAGAGAGAUCAUCAGGUGUCAUGUCAUGGUUAAUUGUCAUGUCCAAAUUAUCUUUCCAUUUAUGUACCUUCAAGAUUGUGUCUUGGAUGGCAAUGUAACAUUAGCCCCCCAAGCGUAAGUUAUACAUUUAAGUACUUGGGACGCCCUUUGGGGCAUAGUUCAGUGGUGCAAAAGAUAUGAGUGAAGUAGUCUCAACCUUGCUGACAGUCGCAGUGUGAGGGUUCGAUUCCUGAAAUAUGGAAUUGGACUUUUUGUAGGCACCAGUGUACAGACAAGCUCUCGUUCCCUGGCCUGCUGGAGCACAUUCCGCGAUUUACCUCAUUCACUAUGCUCCAGGGGCAAGGCGGUUGGGAACCCUCAAGAUUGAGGUUCAACCUUUUUUUUUUUUUUUUUUUUUUUUUUUNNNNNNNNNNNNNNNNNNNNNNNNNNNNNNNNNNNNNNNNNNNNNNNNNNNNNNNNNNNNNNNNNNNNNNNNNNNNNNNNNNNNNNNNNNNNNNNNNNNNNNNNNNNNNNNNNNNNNNNNNNNNNNNNNNNNNNNNNNNNNNNNNNNNNNNNNNNNNNNNNNNNNNNNNNNNNNNNNNNNNNNNNNNNNNNNNNNNNNNNNNNNNNNNNNNNNNNNNNNNNNNNNNNNNNNNNNNNNNNNNNNNNNNNNNNNNNNNNNNNNNUUUGGGUUUAACUUUUUUUUUUUUUUUUUUUUUUUUUUUUUACAUUUAUGUACUUGGUGUUUGUUAAAAAGUAUAAGUAAGGUCGAAUGCAUGCAAGAUUGCCUUGGGUGUGUUAAGACUUACUAUUAGCUUUUGAAUAUAAGCUAACUUCAAAUAUUUGAUGACUUAUGAUUAGCCUCUAAAGUAUAAGCCGGCAUGAAGUGGAUGAGGAUUUACCACUUACCUCUAAAAUAUAAGGAAGAAGAGCUCACAAGCCAACCUUAGACAUAUGAGGAGGCUUUAUGGUUGUGGAUGAGGAUUUACCACUUACCUCUAAAAUAUAAGGAAGAAGAGCUCACAAGCCAACCUUAGACAUAUGAGGAGGCUUUAUGGUUGGCCUGUGAAAAUAACUGAGACGACAUGAUUAGACAAUUUUAUUAUUAUUAUUAUUAUUUUAUUUUUUUGGCAACAUCUCCCUUUGAAUAUGGAUUAAACCCAUCUAAUAAAACAACACAAAUUCCCAAAAACAAGUAUAGAAAUAAAAAUGGGACAGUAUGCUACAAGGUCGUUGAACUGGGGAUGAUCUGAUGACUUUUGCACUCCGAUGCUCAACUCAAAUUUCGACUUUGAGUGUGGAAAAAACAACUAGACAUAACGUUACCUUUUGGUGAAAGAUUUCACAUACUUCAUGAGUGCAAAUUACCUAUGUAUUGAGAAAUAUGAGGAGUGAUAAGUGAAAUUUUCUGUCAAGUGUUAUGUCAUGAUUAGUCGUUGCAUAAAAAAUUUUAUUUUGAUUUAUGUUCGAUUAGGAUUAUAUCCCGGGGUCCGCUCGAAAGCCUCAAUAAUGAAAUACAGAUUGUAUAGUCAACUUUAUGUUUGUUAUUUUCCAAUUAUUGGUUACGGGUAUUUUCAUGCCUAUUUGGCCCAGUUCUUUUACAUGAAAGACUGAGCCCAAAAUAUAACGGGUCAUUUGGGUUUCAACUUGAUAAAACUCAGUACUUCAAUAAAAAAUGACCCUUCAAUAGUUUAAAGGCCAUUUUGUUAGGACUCCCACAAAGGGGAAAAAUACACAACUACUAGAGUGUAAGAAUCAUAUUUCAUAAUUAAUAAUUUUAUAAAAUAGUUCCAAAAUUCAGGUGCUAAAAGCAAUAUAAUAACAUAUAAUAUAAUCUAAAUUAGGAUAAAAUGUAGUUUAAAAUAAAUCCUACAAAAUAGGAAUUAUUCCAUAUUUAAAAGAUAUUUAUCACUCUCCUUCUCACAGGCUAACACCAUAUUUCUCUCUAUAAACCCGAUUUCCAAAAUCGUUGCAAAUUUUCCCUAAGAGUGUUUGAUUACAUUUAUUUUCCAUGGAAAAUAUCAGUUUUCCACCCAAAUUCCUUCUUGAGGUGUUUGAUUGCUAAUUUUUUUCAUGGAAAAUAUUUUCUAACUUUUGAAAAUAUGCCUAAUUUUUCUUGUUUUUAAGGAAAACAUUUUCUUUGGGUGGAGGUGGUUUUUAUUUUCCACAAAAAAAGGAAAAUAUUUUCUUUUUUAGGUGAUAUUUUUCAUGUCAAUCAAACACACUCUAAAUCUUUAAUGUUAAGCCAAAAUCAAAGAAUAAAGUCACAAUAUAGUCGACAAACUUGAAAUUUAUUCUUUUCGUCAAGCUGAAGCUCGUCGGCAGACCAAUUGAAUGUGCCCAAAGCAAAUACUGACAUUCCUUGACAAUUCGAAGCCCUAACAAGCACGUUAGUAUUUAAUAUGGUCGAAUCGAAGUUAUGGCAUUUUAUGAAAGCAAAAGAUUACAAUCAUUGAUUCUUUGAGCAAUUCAUAGGACAGAACUUGGUUUUACUAGAAAAUGAAGAGAUUUCAAACUUUCAUAGAGAAAAAUUCAGGGAUUUAUGAAGUUGAAGUGAAGCUGUAUUUGCAGAUUAGGCUGAAGUUUAAGUUUGAGAAGUUAAAACAAAUGAAUAUUUGUGAUGAUAGCCAUACAUAAUACAAUUUCCUUUUACAAUGGUAAAAAUAGAAGAGAUGGGCAUGUUGAGGAUUCUGUGCCAUUGGGAGUAUUCUUGGGAAGGCCUGCAAAUAAUUUUGAUGGUACUAGCUAUUCAUAAUAAUUUGUAAUUUCGGUAUAUGGGAUGGGUUUUAAUGAAUCUAAUUGCAUUUUGAGCUCAUUUCAUACUGUUAAUUCCUUAUUUGUUGCUUGUUAAGUUUAUAUUCCCCAUUUUAUUUUUAUUUUUACCUUACUUCCUAGUAAAGAAUCUCGAAAAUUAAAUGUUGAAAUGGAAAAUUGAAAUCAUUUUAGAAGAACAAUAUAAGACCUCGUCCUGGGUUGUUGAAUCCAGCUGCACUGGAAAAUAUUGUUGUAAUAAAGUGGGUUCUAUAUAUAAUAUGACUAUUGAGACAGAGUUUUAGCUUCAAUCUCUAGAUUGUUGGUAAAAUUACUCGGGUUGAUCGUCUCUUGUUAACCAACCAGGUCUGUUAUAACAUUAAAUGUUUGUAACCAGACAUGUGUAAGUGAUUAAUAACUAUAACUGGGUAUGUCUUCAAUAUAAGUAUCUGUGACCAAGUUUAUUUUAACUUUGAUUGUACGCAAUCAGGUAUUUCUUAAAAGUGACUGUCUAUUAUCAUGUUUGUCUUAAAUGUGCCCAUUUGUAACUUGUUCUAUUUUAACUUUGACUAUAUGUGAUCAGUACUAUCUAAAUUAUAAAUGUAUGUGACCAUAUCUGUGUUAAUAGUGUUUUGUGAUCUAAUAUGUGAAAAUGGCGUGACCACUUCUAUGUUAAUUAUGACUAUUUGUGAUAUUUAUGCGUUAAUUGUGACUCUAUGCGACAAAGUUUGUGUUAUAUGUAACUGUCUAUGAUCAGGUUUGUUUCCACUACGAAUGUUUGUGCCCCCUAAUGCAUUUAUUGUGGCAUGUUGUUAUCUUACUGUGACCUAUUAUUGCCUAACUACAAAUUACAUUAAUCAAAGACCUAUGUUAUAGGAACAAUCUAUUUAUCGAUCACAAACCACAAAUUUUGUAAAUUAUAACUUAUUUAAAAGUCACAAAUUAUGAAAUUAAUUGAUCAAGACUUAUUUUUUUGUCACAAAUCAUAAAUUUUAUAAUAGAUUAAUAGAUCACGACUUUUUUCAAUCAUAAAUCACAAAUUUUAAAUAUCACAACUUAUUUCGUGGUUACAAAUUAUAAAAUUAAUUGAUUAUAAGUAAAUUUUCAAUCAAAAAUUAUCAAAUUGGUUGGUUUCUCUUGUAAAAUGUAAAUUUAUUAUGGUUUAGAAGUGAAUGACAAUUAUACCCCUGCAGUCCUGAAAAUUAUUAUUGUUGUAUCUCCGAUUCUGCCCUAUAAAUACAGGAUUUUGGUUCUUAAUAAAACACACACAAGCCUAUUGACUUCUCUCUGUUCUCUUCUCUUUUCUUCACUUUUAUAACACAUUAUCAGUACGAUAACUUAAUUUUUCAAAGUUUAGUGAACGUAAUAAUUUUUAUAUGCGUGAAUAUUUUUCACGUGUACCAAAAUUAAUUUGGUAGCAUGUGAAAUAUUUCAAUAUACAUAUACAUCAUACGAUGUUGCUUCUUCUUCUCUACAUUUUAUCGACAUGCAUAUUAAUUCUAAUUCACGUUUGUAUGUGUAAUCUGAACACAUAUUAAUUCACUUUUUUUUAUUUAUGCACGAUCAUUUUUUCACAUAUUAUUCAGUAUUAACUCUGUCUUAUAAAUCUGUUAUAUAUUAGUUCUAUCUUUAAUUUCUAUAUAUAUGAAAUUUAUAUGCAUGUUUAGUAUCUUUUGCAUGUUGAUAAAAAAUUUAGCCAAUAAAUUAUUUGGCCAAUUUUGUUAACUUCUAUAUAAGGAGAUUCUUUUUCUUAAUGCAUGUUUGUUAAUUAAUUUUUCUAUAUAAAUUCAUAUUAUGUAUAUAUGGUAAUUAAAUAUUUCUAGAUAUUAUUCUAUGAAUUUCAAAUUAGAAAUUUAUCAUCUUGUUGUUUCAAAAGUAGCACAACAUUUUAGUUAAUAUUCCAGAAAAAUAUUAAUUGUAUAUCUAUCUAUUAUAAAUAGUUCGUUGUUGCUCCUGAAGUAGCACAACAUUAUUAAUAUUCUAGAAGAAUAUUACUUGCUUAUAAAGAGUAUGGUAUUGCAAGUUCAAUAAUCCAAAAGAAUAUUGACUCAAUGCUUUUGAAGAAGCAUAAUUUAAAUUAUAGUUAUUUUAAACGAAUAUAAUGUUGAUAUUUUUGAAGAAAUGCAACACACGUUAUAUAAAUAUUUAAGACGAAUAUUUCAUUAUUACUCAUGUAGGGCAUAAAUUUUAUUAUUUAGCUUGAAAGGUAGAAUGAAUCGUUAAUAUCAAUAUUCUAGAAGAAUAUUGUAUUUAUGCUCUUAAAGAUCAUAUAUCUCAUUGUGUUCCCAAAAAAAUCACAUUUUAUAUAAUAAAAAAAAAGUUGUGUUGGUAUUUCUGAAGAAACACAAUAUUAUUAAUAUUUUAAAAAAGAAUAUUAAUUACUUCAAAAGAAUAUGACAUUAUAAUUUCAAUAUUCCUGAAGAAUAAAUCACGAAUUGAAUUAUUCUAAUUAUUUACGUAUCCACUUUUCUGCAUACAUAUUUAGAUAUUGAUGUUCUUGUCAGAUUGUAUUACUCUUAAAGAGCAUAAUGAUAUAAAAUUUAAUAUAAAAUUAUGUUUUUACUCUUGAAAAGUAAAUCCUUACAUAAUUAUUAUUGUAAACAAUAAUAUGUUAUUGCUCCUGAAGAGCAUGACAUUAAAAUUUUCUAUAUUUUAGAAGUAUGUUGAUCUAUUGUUCUUGAAAAAGUAAUAAUAAAUAUAAUGUGAUCUCAAAAUAGCACAUUCUAAUUUUCAUUAAUACUAUAGUUAGAUCUUACUUACUCUCGAAAAGUAUAAUUACAUAUAAUCUAACGUAAAUUAUAUUUUUACACUCGAAGAGUAAAGUAUUGUAUAAUUCAUUAUUAUAAUAUUUGAUUGCUCGCGAAGAGCUUGAAUUGUAAUUUUCAAUAUUCCAGAAGAAUACUGACAUAUUACUUUUGAAUGAGCAAUAAUAAUAAUAAUAAUAAUAUAACGUGCUUUUAAAGCAGCACAUGCUUUGGAAAAUAUAUUAUUUAGAAUUCAUGUUUAUCCGUGAAAGAAAAUAUAUAACUAAUGUCGUUAGAACAUUGAUUAGUUUGACUACUUGAAUUAUAUAUGAUUAUAUAAUAUUUAAUCAUAUUCUUGGAGAUUAAAUGAUUGAAUUACAUAUUAUAUUGAACCAAAAGUUCAAUUUGAUUUUAUUAUUUGACAUGAUAAGUUGGACCAUCACUAGAUCAAUAAUGAUGCGAAGUUAAAAUUUUAAUGGAUAUUAAAUGAAAAAUUAGAAGAUUUUUCAAUCAAAUGAAUUCAUAUAUAUUAUUUGUUGUCUUUAUUAACAAUUGAUCAUUAAGCAUCGCUAACUAAAUUAGGGAUUGAAUGUCCUAUAUUUCUGAAAAUUAUUUAGGGUGAUAUAUGGGGCCCUAUCACCCACCAUAUUAACCAUCUAAAUAUUAUUUGUAACAAAUAUUAAAUGAUUGCAUAGUGUUCGCGACCUAAAAUUUUGCGAAAUUAUUACUCAAGUUAUGAUCAUAAUUUUCAGAUUAUAUAAUUAAGACUAUGUCUUGUUAACGCUAGUGGGCAUAAAUCUCAAUAUUUUAAUAAGUGUUAGUUGAGAUGUCGAUGAUAAAUGGUUUAACACUAUUGUUUGUUAAAUGUCUUGAAUUAAUUUAAUUGAGAAUAAAAUUAUUUCCAAUUUUUAUUUAGGGAAUUCUAUUACGCAUCAUGUCAAAAUCACAGUUCUCCAUAUUAUAAUUAGCUUAUGGUCAGAUCCUAAUUUUUGCAUCUAAUUAUUUUUUAUGAUGUAGUAUAUGUAAAAAUUGAACACCACAAUACACUGAGUUGGAAAAUAAAGAAUGCUGAGAAUAAGUACGUAGUUUGAACUAUUAUUUAAAAUGGGCGAUAUUUUAUAACAUUGAAAAAAUGAUUGUCAAUUUAAUUGGACAAUUCUCUCAACAUUAUGGGAGGAAUUAAGAAGUUGAAAAUAAUGUAUAAAUGGAUCAUCAUUUAAAUCCUCGAUAAAUAUCAUUCGAACCAGAAGUUCGAAAGAUAAUUUAUUUAUAUGCAUUUAUUGAUCAAAGAGAUCAACAAUAUCUCGCGCACUAAUUUUUAAUGCUCCAACAUGAAUUGAUGCCUUAGGGGACAAUUUGUUAGCGAUAUAUUUGAUAUAUAUACAGCAUGCAUAAAGCGUGAUGGUGUUCGAUUCUAAUACAAAAAUCUUCAAAUGAAAAUGGAGCAAUUAGCAAAGGUGGUUUCAUUAAGUAGGCAUAUAUUCUUAAUGAGUAUUUAGACAUAACAAAUUAUAAAACCCUAAAAGAGGUUCAGGUACCUGAUAUGUUGAAAAUUAAGAUAUCUAAAUAAAUUAUAUCACUAUGGAAAAAGAAAUAGAAUCGAACGAGAAAAGAAAAAGUUGUCGACAACAAAUUUGUACAUGAUAUAUAGUAUCAUAUGUGAAUCGCGAGGAAUCAAAAUAAAUUCGUCGAAAUAUAUCGAUCGAAAUAAUGUUUGGCCAAAUAAAAGGAGACGCCAUCUUAAAUUGAAUUUACUAGAUAAACACAAAAUUUUUGGACCUGUAGUUCGAAAAUCUAAAGGUAUAUACUUUUACGAAAAGUAAAUGAGAAAAAUGAAGUAUAUUGUGUAAUACACGACUCUCAACAUAGUGAAUUUCACAAAUAUUGUCAUGGAUAAAAUCACGAGUCUAUAUCAUGUUAUCUUGAUGAUACAUAAAAUUUGAAAUACGUGAUAGUCAACUGAUCUGAUUAUUAAUGUUAUCUUUGAAAGAUUUAAUAUGCUUGAAGCAUAACUCAAAUGAUACAUGCCUGAGAACCAUGUUUUUAGAUCAUUAUAUUAAUUAAAACAAUUUGGACAUAUGUGAUAUAAUCGUCUUAGCGAAUAUUUGUUGAAUGAAUGCUAUGAAAAUGACCUUGUUAACCCAUAUGUUUUCAUAAAGAAAACAAAUAUUAGAUUUGCAAUUAUAGUCGAUGAUUUAAAUUUAAUUGGAACUUUUGAAGAGCUCAACAAAGCCGCUGAUUAUUUGAAAAAUGAAUUUGAGAUGAAAAAUUGGGAAAAAUCAAAUUUUGUUUUAGGUUGCAAAUUAGACAUUUUUCAGAAAAAUUAUUUGUUCAUCAAUCUAUGUAUACAAAAAGAAGUUUUAAAACACAUUUAUAUGGAUAAUGUACAUCCACUGAUAUCACCAUAGUUGAUCGAUCUUUCGAUGUGAAAAAUGAUCAAUUUCGUCCACUUGAAGAUGGAGAAAAGGUUCUUGGUUCAGAAAACUAUACCUUAGUGCAAUUUGAGCAUUAAAUUAUCUUGUAAAUUGCACUCGACUUGACAUAACUUUUUCUUUAGGAUCCGCUUUAGUGGGACAUACAGAUGCAUGUUAUCUCUAUAACCCACAUAAAGCUAAAUCACAAACAGGAUAUAUGUUUACACAUGGAGGAACAGCAAUAUUAUGGUGAUCCGUGAAACAAUCUUUGAUAACAACAUCCUCUAAUCAUUCUGAAAUUAUUGAAAUUCAUGAAGCAAACCAAUAAUGUGUGUGGUUGAGAAACAUGACCCAUCAUAUCCAUACAUCAUGCGAGUUAACUCCAACAAUUUUGUAUGAAGACAAUACAGCUUGUAUUGCACAACUCAAAGGAGGUUAUAUCAAAGGUGACAGGACGAAACAUAUUUCUCCAAAAUUCUAUCAUAUACAUGAGCUUCAAAAGAAUGGUAACAUUGAUAUCCAACAAAUUCUCUCAAGUAGCAAUGUGGCCGAUUUAUUCACAGAAACACUACCAACAUCUACAUUCGAGAAAUUAGUUCAUGAGAUUGAAAUGCGUCGACUCAAAGAUUUUCAGUGAUCAAUAUCAGAAGGAGUAGACUUAGGUUUUAUCCCACUGGAUUUUCUUAGCAAGGUUUUAAUGAGAUAACAUUUAUUUUUAGUACUCCAAAAUAACUGUACUUUUUUCCUUCGUUUUGAUUUUUUUUCCCAUUGGAUUUUUAUCAAAUAAGGUUUUAACGAGACAGAUAUUUUAUAAUAUAUCAUUCAAGAAGGGGUGUUGUAAAAGGUAAGUUUAUUAGAAUUUAGAAGUGAAUGACAAUUAUACUCCUACAACCUUAGAAAUUAUUACUUUUGUAUCCCUGAUUUUGCCCUAUAAAUACAGGAUUUUGGUUCUUAAUAAAAUACACACAAGUCUAUUUACUUUUCUCUGUUAUCUUCUUUUUUCUUCACUUUUAUAACAGUUUCGACUUAUUUUUCAAUUAUAAAUCACAAAUUUUAUAACUCACAAAUUAUUAAAGUAAUUGGCCACAAGUUAUUUUUGGGUCACAAUUUAUUUAAUUAAUUAAUCAUAACUUAUUUAUCGAUCAUAAAUACGCAAAUUAUAGGUCAUAAUUACAAAUUUAAUCAUCAGAUUUUUCAGUCUCAUAUUAUUUAAUUUAUUCAUUCUUUUCACUCAAUAACCCUAUAAUUGGCCACAACCACUCUUCAUCCAACCAAUUCCAUUCUACCACCACCAGCACCACCAAAAAAUCUUGGUAUCAUCUUACCACCACUGCCUCGAAACGCACCACACAUUGAUCACCACCACCAACCACUACAACAGUAUGAUCACAAUACACACAGAUCGGCGUCGUUUCCAUUCUUAUAUCUGCACGCAUACACAUUAAAAAAUUAGAUCUACAAAUUCCCCAAGUCAAAAAUGAUAAUAUUAAUUCUGCAACAAAAAUUCUUAUAGGGAUGGUAAAUGAAUCACUAAUUGAGAAUUCUUCAUAUUCACAUACAUGUAAUCAAUUCUUACCUAAAAUGGCAAAUGGGUCACCAAUUACUUCUAUAAUAUUAAAAAUUCCAGUACCCACUCCAAACAACUUAUCAUAUUAAAAAUUCUUCAACACACGCAAAGACAGCAAUACAUAGAGAUACGCGUAUGUGUAUAGAAGCAAGUGGACGUUUUUUGACGAUUACGUCACUGGCGACGAUAAGUGGGAAUUGUACGAUCCUGACCACGAUGAAUGGAAGCUGUAGAGAGAAAGAGGUAUUUGUAUGUUAAAGAGAGAGUUAAAGAAUCGGUUGUAGAGAGAUAUUGUGCUUGUUUGAUAGGGAUUUUGUUAAUUAAUUUUUUGACCGUUAGAGAUAAAAUGAGUUUUACCUGUGAGAGAAGAAUUAAAAAAUGACAGCUGGAAUAGUGAAAUAACGGUCAAAAAAUUAAUUUUAAUUGGAUUUUAAGCUGUACUAAACAUGCUCAUUAUCUUUUGGAGAGAAAUUAGGAAGACUAAUGUAAUUUAAUAAAUGUAUAUUAAUUAAUUUAAUGAAUUUUAAUUAUCACAAUUUAAAAUUACUUCAUCUUAUUUUUGAAUAGUACACUUUAGAUGUAGGAUUUUGGGUCAUUUUCCCUACACAAAAAGUAGGAUAAGGAUGGAUCCAUGGGCCCUUUACAUUUGGGCCCUCACAUGCCACAACUUACACGGUACACAGGAUUUAAAUAUGAAAACAAAAAGAAAGUUAAAAAUGUCAAUUGUUUUUCUCUCACACCACACUCAAGAAAAUAUAAAAAGGGACUUCACAUUUUGUGAUAAAAAGAACAAAAUUCCAAAUGAAAAAAUCUUUGUCAAUUUCAAUGGAAUAUAUCCGCGAUAAUUACCAAUUUAUGAUACAAAAAUGAAUUAACAAAUAAGGAUAUUUGCACAGAAUCCCAAAUAAAUUGCAUUGUUCGACCAUUCUAACAAAAGAAUAAGGUGCAUCUUUGACAAGUAAGGUCAGAUUUUUGGUGAGCGCAGCGUUCCAAGUAAAUAUAUAUUUUUAAAUAAUGUGUGAUCAAAAAGAAAAAACGUCCCAUAAAAUAAGUGAUAAAAAAUUAUUUUAAGAAAAUCUCCCCAAAACAAAUUAAUUGCAGUUGUGUGCCUAUUACCAAGUCUUUUUCUUGAUGACUUAUCAUGUGAAUCCUUCAUGCAAAAGCCAAAAAUUGGCUCUGCUACUUUAACUAAGAUUAAAAAAGGGAAAUAAAUAUUUAUUGAAGUGGUCCACCAAGUUCUAGUGGCAAGGAAAAGAAAAUCCCGAAUUCUGAGGAUUAUGCCUCUAAGUGUCAAAGUCGACUGCCCAAUUUUGCAGCCUCCAUAUUUGUGAAGAUUUCAAUUCAUGAGUAUGAAAGUGUUUAAUACGUCGGAUUUAAUAUGAAUAAAAUAAAUUAAAUUAAGCCUUUAUUUGAUAAUAUUGUUGAUUCAACAUAAUACAUUUUUCACACAUAUAACCAAUACCAACACAAAAUUGAUCUUAAUUAUAUUGUCUGUGACAAAUAAUUUGUGAAUAAUUUGUUAAGUUAUGGAACCUAAUUAUUAUCAUUGUAUGGAGUUUUUACACGAAUUUUAUAAUUAUCAUAAAAAAAAGAGGUUACAGAAAAUAUUUGUACGAUUUUUCUCUUGAAACUUUUAUUUCACCAUAGUAAAUUGCUCUAACAGCAGAUGAGAAUGUAGUUUCAUAUAGAGGGAAUAUCUAUAAAUCUUGCAUUUUCUUUUGUAUCUUUUUUUUUACUACAAUUUUAUUGCUUUUAAUGAUGUAGAAUUAUGGUUUCUAAUUCUCAACACAACUCGUUAUCUUAGUCCUUCAUGUAAUAUUUCUAAAAAGGAUUGGAGUAUCUCCAAUAGACUCUUUAUUUUUAAAGGGCAUAUUUUAUCAUUUAAAGGAUAUCUAUAAAUCUAGAGAGUAAAAUUUUUGAAACACUCCAACACUCACUUUAUAUUUAACAUUUAAUUUUACUACUCCGAAAAAAUAUUUAUUAUAUUUCUCUAUCUUUUAUUUUAACUAGUUUUUCUCUAGAUUAUUGCAUCAUUUUUCCUAUAUAGAAAAUUAAAAUACUUUGAAUAUAUUUAAUUAUAGAGAGUGAGUUUAGCUCUCCAAAUAUGAGAACCAGACUCAUUCUCUAAAUUAAAAUGUUAAUUUAAAGAAUCUCUUGGAGCAUGAUUUUAAAGAUUUGCUGUUUAAAAUAGAGAGCAUCUCAUGUUUCAAAAAUCUUUUGAAGAUCCUCUUAACAAAUUUGGGUUCAGGUUUUUACUACUUGAGCUGUGUUUGUAUUGGCUUUUUACUGCAAUUAGUAAAUUAAAUUCUAGUAACUAGAGUAACUAGAGUUAAAAACUUGACAUGUAUACUUUAGCCCCCGUUUGGCCCCUUUAAAGCUUUUCAAUUUAAUUUAAUUUUUUUCCGUCCUAUUUUCAAUCACACAAUUUUCAAUAAAAUAAUAUUACACUGAAAUCGAAAAUUUUCAACCACACAAUCUUUAAAAAAAUUACUAUUCUUCCAUUAUAAAUUCAAAUAAUGGAGGACAAACGGGCUCUUAAUUACGUCAUUGAGUUUCAAAUGAAAACUUUUGAAAUACAUAUUAAAUUGCGUACGUCAUUCAAGAUUAUGUGCAUGUCACGAGUGUUUAAUAGUUACAUUUGUAAUUCCUCGUAUACUAUUUCAUCCAUAUCCAAUCAUUUUGACUUUAAAAUAAUUGAUAAAUUUUUAAAGGGUCUUUCUAAUAUGGGCUUGUUUGGACCCGAUUUUUUGACCUAAAAAUUUGACUUUUUUACCAUUAUUUCACUAUUUCAUCCGUCAUAUUUGACUUCUUCUCUCACAGGUGGACCCCACUUUUUUCCUAACGGUCAAAAAAUCAAUUUUCAAAAUCACUCCCAAACAUGCUCUAUAUCUAGUUUAGUAUUGCACCCCACACACACACACACCAUUUUAUUUUUACAUUACAAGCAUCGACUUAUUGACUACAUACUUAAGCUUGCAUGCUAGCUACAAAAUUAACUUAAAUAAAAACAUUAAGGGGGUGUUUGAGCCCCAUUAUUUUUUAAGAAUGUAUUUGGAAUAGUACAUUGAUGAAAAAUAUGUGGUUAAAAAAAGGAAAAGUUUUUGAUAUGCGUGUGUAAUAUUAUUUUGAUAAAGUAUGUGAUUGAAAAGAAUAGAGAGAAAAAUGUAUUUUAGGAAACAUGAGAAUCAAACACCCACCCCACCCCCCUCCAAUUAACACUCAAAAUGACAUUUUUGUUACAACAGCACAUAUUGGCUGCUCGAUUUUUGUUCAAUUGUAAGCCAUACCUACUAUGCAAUAUAGCUACAGGAAUUCUGUUGGUGAUCGAUCUGUAAGACCACAUCGGACCAUUUGAGGAUCCACUUUAAGACAGUCAAAAGAGUUCAUUUGUCAAGAAAGUGAAAGAUAGGUUAGUGCUUAAGGUCGGACAUUGGAACCUAGUGACCCAGAGCCGGUCCUGAGGUGAGGUAGAUGAGGCCUGCGCCUCAGGGCCUCAACUGGUAGGGGGCCUCACUUCGCCAUAACAUUUUUUUUUUUUUUUGGCAAUUAAAUGAAAAAACUGGAAGAAGAAAUAAUUUUCAUCUCCCCACGGUCACUGACAUACUGUGGCGAUGCAUAAUUUACAGGUUCAGAGGGAAGAUAGUGGCCAAUCGCCAUUGUUGCAGGUGAUUGCAGAUGGGAAGCUUGAAGAGGAAGACGAUAAACUUGGGCUAAAUUUUUUUUUUUUUUUGCUUGAGGCUUUUUUUUUUUUUUUUUUUAAAUAGGCCCAUCAAUAUAGCCAUAGAUCCAUGGCCCAUAUAGCCCAUAUGCCUCUUAAGUGAAAUCGUUUCCAACAUAGAAGAUAAUUUGGACAAAACAAACCUAAUUCUCCCUACACUGCGCAGCCCAACGCCGAGUCGCUGAGUGAAUUGGUUGUAACCCGCUUGUUGCCGGCGAGUCGCCGAUGUCGACCUCAGCCCUUCAGUCUUCACCACUACCUUCUGCUACCAUGUGAGCCUUUCUUCUUCUUGUUUGUUUUCUUGUCUUUCUUUUUAUGUUUUGUUUUUGUUUAUGUUGUUUUUUAUUUUCAUCAUUACGAAAUUAAAAUAAAUAUGUGCAUAAUCAAGAUUGAAGAUGCUUUGAUAAAUCUGAUGAUAAUGAUUAAUGGGGAGAAGCAUAAAUAAUUGAUAAUGGGGAGAAGCAUAAAUAAUUAUUCAGAGAAAAUUGACGUCAAAUCAUUCUGGAAGAGUUAUCUUCUGUGAAUAGAGAUGUGUCUUCAUUACUCAAUUUCCUGUUACUUCAUGCAUUUUGUCAAAUUCUUAUGGCCGAAUGUUACUAGCAGGUAGUUCCUGCCUGGUUGAGCUGCUUACCUAUAAAAGGUGAUCUUAUUGAAGCAAAAGUUGUUCAUGAGCAGCUGUGCACAAUGGUCGAGAGGUAGACAAUGGAGAUGGCUCUAAUUUGGCAUUGUUGGAAACCAAACUUGUUGCUAAAGACCUUCAUUUCUGUAUAUUGAUCUGUUUUCCUCUUAUAGGUCCGACAGGGAACUUCUGGGUCCCAACAAUCAAUAUCUCCCCAAAAUAGUCGCAGUAUUUGCUAAGGUUAGUUCUCACUAUAUGAUAAGUGAAUAACUUAAUGUGCAUUUUAUGUUCUGUUAUGAAAUUCCGAAUAGAGUAUUACAAUCUAAUUAGCCUGCACUUGACUAUGAUCUUUAGACAUUUAUAUACAUGAAUAUGCUCUGAACCUGUGAUCAUUACAUUUUUUUUUGUCUCGUGUAUUUAGAGAGAGAGAGAGAGAGAGAGAGAGAGAGAGAAAUGUGUUGACUAUAAACUUUUUCUUCUGCUAUAGGUCCUACGUGUAAUUACAUAAUUUUUGCUCAAAUCCUAUUUCUCAGGUGAGCAAUGGCUUUUGCUUGCUUAUUUAUAAACUAUUAAAUAUAUAGGAAAUGUUUGAAGUCUUGUCGGCUUAUAUGAUUGCAUUGUAGUAUUGCACCCUUGUCGGGUUAUAUUGACUUUUGUUAGAUUUAAUCGAAUGAUCAAUUGCAUAGACGCACGUAGUCAUAUACCAUGGUGCCUCCUAAAUAUGAGUCUAGAACUCAAAAAAUGAAAAAGGAAACGCAUAAUACAAAUUUUUUUUCCUAAGGAGGGGGACUUAAUUUAUAAAGUUCGCCUCAGGGCCCCGACAGCACAGGACCGGCCUUGGAACCUACCCUCGCAGGCCGGCUAACUGGAGGUUUCAUAAGGAAACAUCAUCAUGAUUAAAUGAGAGACGUUCUCCACGACAUCAACACCACCUUUUGUGACCAAUCAAUAGCGAAGGCGUGUCCUCUAUGAUGUCAAUAUUGCUGUCACCUCCAAUCAAGGAAAAGCAACAAAGACCAAGGUAGCAGGUUAUGACUAAGGCGUCAUGAUGAGCCAUUGCAGUGACUUAUUAAGAAAUAUGUAGGUCUUACUAGCUAAGCAUUGGUAGAACGUGACUACUUGAAGAUUGGGACGAUAACUAAAUAAUACAAUUGUGGCUAAAUCAGAAUAGAUUGUAUCACUUAUUAUUCUACCGUUGAGUCAUUUAGUGGUGAGUUAUGCCGAACUCCCCAGCCAAUGAAAAACCUCCAAACAGGGCAGAAUCACGCAUCACUAGGUCGGACAUUGUAGCUUGAAAAGGCCGGAAUAGUAAACCCUAAUUUGUGGCCUAUGCAAGGAAGAAAAGAUCGAACGAAAUGGACCAAGCUGAUUAAAUUCUCUAUAAUACUCAACUAAGCAAAUUUCCAGUAUAUAUACACACAAGCUUUUUCUGUCCACCAAUAAAAUUAUUACUUUGUUUAAAUUUCUUUAAGUUGAUCUUACUACAUCAUUUUUAAUCAUCAACAAAUCGUAACAAUAAUAUCCUCUAGUAUCUGAUAGCAUUAAACCAGUGAUUAACCACAAAUAUUAAUCCAUUAAAUUCCAUAUAAUUACAGUACUGUACAAUGACACUACUAAUCUAAAUUAUGCUAUAUAUCCAACAAGCUAGUCCACCAGUAAUUAUAUAUAACCCCAUAUGUAAACCAACAGACCAAAGAAAAUAAAAUUAAAACCAGUAAAUUCAAAGGUGUUCAAAAGGCUUUUUGAUAAAUAUCACGAAGUUUCUUCCAUGAUUCUUCUCUCUGCAUCUUCAACUGAUUAUGGAAGUCUCCAAUAAAUGUCUCAGCUUUAUGAUAUAAUUCCUGCUCACUAAGCUCCCCAGUCUCCUCUCCAUUGUCAUCAUCGUUGUGUUCUUCAGUGCAAUCUUCUUCGGCAGCUCCAAUAAAAAACAGGCUUGGAGUCGAAGGAGAUUUGUCUAAAACGUUUUGUACCUUCACCGUAUCAGCAAUUUUCUCUGAUGAUGAUUUUUCGAAAACCUUAACCGGUUUGUUCGUAGAAUGAUCUAGACUGCUAAUUCCAUUGUUUGAGAUGGUGGUCCACGUUUCAUUAUCGGGAUAAACCUCUGAUAUUGAUUUCUGUGCAGGUUUCUUGUUUUCUGGGGCUUCAAGGAAAAAAGAAGCAAGCCCAGAUUCUGCUCCAACUGCGAAGAUGAGAAUGUUGACGAUGAGGUAGAGAUAUUUAGGUCUGAACGAUGUGGAUAUAAGUGGUGCUAUAAUGCACAGAGCUGAUAUCAGAAAAAGCUUCAGAAUCUGGGAUUUCUUCAUCUUCUCCAUGGUUUUCGAGAGAGGCCUGCGUGUGUAUGAGAGAAAGAAGUGAUUUCUAUGGUUUGAUGGGAUUUUUGUGCAUGUGAGUGGGGGCCUAUUUGCACUCGCACACAUAUAUAAAGAGGUUUUACAACACAUAAUUGGUCGUGUAAAGAUUGAUAGGGCCAUCGUAUGUUUGGAAAAACAAAUAGGGAAUUUACAAAAAUGUCCAAUUUCAUGCUUGUCAAUUAAAAGUGUCUAGCCCUCAUAAUUCCAGUAAAAAUGACCAAAUUUGGUACCAAAUUGUCUAUUAGAUUCUUAAUGAUAAAUAUGAAUGUGUUUUUUUUUUUUUUUCAAAUGAUCAUCUAAAAGCAAACAUUGUUUGCAACUCCUCGAAACAAGUAAUACUAUUGUGAAGAAAACAAUAUCGAAAAGGUACUUCUUAAAAAGAACAAGAAUGUUGUCAAAUUCCAAUUGAGCAUGGGCGGACCCACAUAGGGUCAUGUGGGGUCAAAUGACCCCACAGUUUUUUGAUUUUUUUUUUUUUUUUUUUUUGGUGCUGAAAACUUAAUUUUUUGUUUUUUUUUUGUGCUGAAAACUUAAUUUUCUGUCUCAAAAAGUCCAAAUUCUAAAUCUAUAUCCAUAUCACAUGGUCCAUAUCCAUUAUUUAGUCCAUAAAUAUAUCAUAUGAUCCAACGAUUUCUUCCCAAAGUGCACAUAUCGAAUAUGAGCAGUAAACAACCGAUUUUUUUUUUUCAUGAUACGUUGUUAAAAAAAAAAAUUUUUUGACCCCACAGUUCAAAUGGUCUGGGUCCGCCCCUGCAAUUGAGUUAACCAACUAUAACGUACAUUUACUGAAUGUUGUGAUACAUCCCUUUUAUCAACACAUAAUUAAUGAAUGUUGUUAUUUACACGUUGUAAAAGGCUUGCAUAUUUUGUUAGAGAUUUGUUUUCAGGAUAUCUCUUUAUUAUUUAAUUUUUAUUUUUUUUUUUAUUUUUUUUUUUAAUUUUUGUGGGGAUGGUCGAAGAAGCUGCACUAACAUGCCCAAUUGUCAAGCUUAUAAAAUAGGUGCUCGAAUUUUUAACUUUGACGUUAGUAUCUUAAAUAAUUUGUCCAUCAACUGGAGACGGUGUAGAGAGAAUCUAAUACAUUAUGAUCUAGUGAGAUAGCGUGGCCACAUGUUAUUGGAUGUAUGAUUGUCAAUUUUUUCAAUAACAAAAAAAAGAAAAAGUGAAAAAGUGCCAACAAAAUAUCUCCCAAUAGCUAGAAAUUAUGAUGUUAUUAUUCAGUUUAUUUCCAAUGGGUUGACGUUUUGAGAUAGAAACUCAAUUCUCAAUAAAUAAUAUCGAGUCAUAUCUUAAGUUUAGCCGUGUAGAUACACAAGGUAAAUCCCCUAGAUAUGAAAAUGUGAGCUCCAAUUAAUUGCAAUUUAGCUUUAAAGGAUACAUAAAAUCGCAACUCAAGAUUCUCUUUUGUGAGUUGCAUGAUUCAUAAUAUCUCUCUGCACGUGUCCAACAAAAUCACGCUAAUCUUCGAAAACUAUAAAGAUAUGCAGCUCAAGCAAUCUACUUGAGGAUAUCAUUCAAAUAAAUAUCGCUCAAAGAUAUGAAUUAUACAAAAAGAUUUAAGAUGAAGAUAUGAACCGAAAUCUUUAUCAAUAUAUAUGUCCCAACUAAUAAAAAUUGUCAUAAGAUUUUGGAUUAUGAUCAAGUUAUAAUAGGAGACAAGUAAUAUGCCAAAAAAAAAAAAAGAAAAAAAGAAUUGAAUUGAGGAAUAAAAGAUAAGGUCGGUCGAAGGAAUAUGAUUCUCAUCUCUUUUACUAUAUUCUUUAGAAGGCCAUUUUAUAUUCUCUCUUGCUUGCUUUUGAGAACUCACUUUUAUGGGCAAUUGAAGCUGUGGAACCAACAAAUGGGCUCUUUGGGAAUUGUGUUCUGGGCCCCACAGUAGAAUAAAAGUUUCUAAGAAUCAAUUCAACAAAAUCCUAAUUUGCUUCAGUGCUCAUAUGGUCCAUUCCAUCAUACUAUGUACCGAUGGAGGGUUCACAAAACCCCUUCAGAGAAGACACAAAAAGGGAGUAGAUUUUUUCAUUUUUUUUUCCUUUUUUUGCACUAUUUUAUUCAUACGAGGUUCAUCUUCGUGUGAGAUUUCUGUAUUGUUUCGAUGAAAAAUGCAUUUCUCUUUCUUUUUUUUUAUCUACAUUUUUAUGAUCAAGUAAUAAAUGUGCGUAUAUACCCAAUUCAACAAGUCCUUGUUUGGUACAGAUUAUUUAAAAUUUAUUUUUAAUCACAUAUUCUUUUAAUAAAAUAAUUUUGCAUUUAGACCCAUAAUUUUUUCAUACUUUUAAUUAUACAUUCCCCCUUUCCCCCCCUCCGCCCCAAAAAAAAAAAAAAAAAACUUUUCACAAAAUUUAUUAUAAAAAAUCUGCAUCAAAUAUGUCUUAAACAAUAUUGAUCAAUAAUUUCGAUUUAUUCUAGAUAAAUUAUACAGAAAGAAUUUGGAAAAAGAAAGAUCCGCAUAAAUUAAAUGGAAUUUGCAAAAAGACAGAAGAGGAAACAGAGGUUUUCAGCCGGACGCGUGGAAUUGACUAUUAAUAAAGCGGUUGUACGUACUUCUUUUACCUAAAAUAUCCAAGGGUUGAGCUACAGUGCAUGUAUGGAUGACCGUAGGAUUGACACAAUACACACAUAAGGGGUUGGGAUUAUUUUAUUCAUGGAAGGCUCACGCCGGGACAUUUGAAGGCGCGAUCACUUGCAUUUUAUAUUCUCUCUUGCUUGCUUUUGAGAACUCACUUUUAUGGGCAAUUGAAGCUGUGGAACCAACAAAUGGGCUCUUUGGGAAUUGUGUUCUGGGCCCCACAGUAGAAUAAAAGUUUCUAAGAAUCAAUUCAACAAAAUCCUAAUUUGCUUCAGUGCUCAUAUGGUCCAUUCCAUCAUACUAUGUACCGAUGGAGGGUUCACAAAACCCCUUCAGAGAAGACACAAAAAGGGAGUAGAUUUUUUCAUUUUUUUUUCCUUUUUUUGCACUAUUUUAUUCAUACGAGGUUCAUCUUCGUGUGAGAUUUCUGUAUUGUUUCGAUGAAAAAUGCAUUUCUCUUUCUUUUUUUUUAUCUACAUUUUUAUGAUCAAGUAAUAAAUGUGCGUAUAUACCCAAUUCAACAAGUCCUUGUUUGGUACAGAUUAUUUAAAAUUUAUUUUUAAUCACAUAUUCUUUUAAUAAAAUAAUUUUGCAUUUAGACCCAUAAUUUUUUCAUACUUUUAAUUAUACAUUCCCCCUUUCCCCCCCUCCGCCCCAAAAAAAAAAAAAAAAAACUUUUCACAAAAUUUAUUAUAAAAAAUCUGCAUCAAAUAUGUCUUAAACAAUAUUGAUCAAUAAUUUCGAUUUAUUCUAGAUAAAUUAUACAGAAAGAAUUUGGAAAAAGAAAGAUCCGCAUAAAUUAAAUGGAAUUUGCAAAAAGACAGAAGAGGAAACAGAGGUUUUCAGCCGGACGCGUGGAAUUGACUAUUAAUAAAGCGGUUGUACGUACUUCUUUUACCUAAAAUAUCCAAGGGUUGAGCUACAGUGCAUGUAUGGAUGACCGUAGGAUUGACACAAUACACACAUAAGGGGUUGGGAUUAUUUUAUUCAUGGAAGGCUCACGCCGGGACAUUUGAAGGCGCGAUCACUUGCGAGAAUGGGUCGUUUGGCUUAACUUAAUAUCCAAUUUCGUUACAAUAGUAAUUCAAGGCUAAACUUAGUUAGUCCAAGUUGGACAUCCAUUUUAAUGAUUAUUAUUAUUUUUAUUAUUUUUUAUUUUUAUUUUUUUUGAAAAAACGAGUUUUGAAAUAGUAAUUUUUUUAGAGAUUGUGUGGUUAUAAUGUAGUAAAAGUUUUGAAUUUAUGUGCAAAUUACUUUUAUUGUGUAAAUGUAUAGUUAAAAAUAAAUUUAAGAAAAAAGAUUUUUUAUUGAAUGAAUUUCAAAACGUGGCUUAGUUUUGAGCCAUUGCUCUUCUAGUUCCAAUUCCACUUUACACUUAAAGCAGGAUUUGUGAGUAAUAAAACAAUAUUAAUAAAGAAAAAAACAAUUAAAAUUUUAUCGUUAGACAAUCAGCUUAUAUGUUGUGUCCAAAAAUACUCAAAACACUCGAUUUCGGUUUUAUCUUAACUUAAAAUUAAGAGGUUAUUCAACAAAGUUUUUUAUAAAUGAUGUAGUACAACUACAAUAGGAUUCCUACUACAAUUAUAUUUUAUAUUUUCUAAGAGUUUAUUUUCUUGUGUUAGGACUUUUAUUUUAUUGAGAGUUUUAAUUAGAAUAAAGUGAUAUUAGUUCACUAGUUUCCUUAUUUCAAUUUUCUAGUACUGUUAAGAAUAGGAAUAAUCUGACUAUAAAUAUAGAAGCUAUUGUACAAUUUUCAAUCAAUUAUUCAUUAUUCAAUCAAUAAAGCAAAUUAUUCCUAUAUCGUUUCAUAUUUAUUUCAUUAUAAUUCUAUUACAAGAAUUCAAACACGCUUCCGCACCAAAAUUGGUAUUAGAGCAAGGAAUUCACCUUAAUCCGAUGGCUGACGAAGGUACUGGGGGUAGUCAGACCGUCGAUGAUGAACGGAGGCUCAACAAACUCGAACAACGAAUCGAGGGGAUCGACGAGGCUCUUCGCAAUCUCACGCAGUUGGUGACUGCGUUAACUGUGAAGUACAGACUCGAACCCAAGGAGAAACAAUCAAAUUGGACAAAAAUCUGACAACAAGGAGAAGAAUCAGAUUACAGCGAGGAAGAAGGUGUUUACCUGGAUGCAAGAAAUCAAAGGGCUGCAGUAGGCAUGGAUUCGCACUCAGUAGUCCACCUUCACGAUGAACCAGGCUUGGGUAAACGACGCCAACCCCAUGUUAAUAACCCACGCCGGCAGCAAGGAGGACCAGUGAUAGGCAGAAGAGGCGCAAGGCGUGAUGGACUAGGGUCCGAUGGGCGUGGCGUGCGUAGAAAUACGGUUGCAGAUCGUUACUUCCACGAAGCGAUCCCCGUACCCUUACAGGUUUAUGAAAGGCGGAACAGAAGGCCCCUUGACCGGAGUGAUGACGGCGAACACCAUCAAGAAGUUUUGGGCGAAGGAGAGGGAGAGUUUGCUGGAACCGGUGGACAACCUCGUCAAACUGGGCGCAAUGUUGGAAACCAGCGUGACGGGUUGGAUGAUUAUGGAAGAGGAAUCAAUUUUGACCAAGCCAACAAUUUUGACCAAGGCAUUAAUUUUGACCAUCAAUUUAAUUUUGACCGGAGAGGUAAUUUUGAUCGAGGACUUAAUUUUGUUCGGCAACCAAGAGAUAGGGGUCUUCAACAAAGACGGCCACGUGGGUUCGAUUAUUCAUUCGAAGAAGAAGAAAAUUUUCGACCAAGGGCUAACAAUAGAGGUCCCAAUGUUCAAGAAUUUAAGAUGAAGAUGGACUUGCCAAGUUUUGACGGUCGAUUAAAUAUUGAAGAUUUUUUGGAUUGGAUCCACAUUGUUGAAAAUUUUUUCGACUAUUUAAAUAUUUCGGAACAAAGUCAAGUUAAACUAGCAGCGUACAAAUUAAAAGGUGGAGCUUCUGCAUGGUGGGAACAAUUACAAUUUAAUCGUCAAAGACAAGGAAAGCAACGUGUGCAAACCUGGCCCAAGAUGAAACGCUUGUUGCAAUGGCGAUUCCUUCCUCCGGAUUAUGAACAAUUUUUGUACCAGCAGUAUCAGAAUUGUCGACAGAAUAACAGGACAGUAAAUGAAUAUACAGAGGAUUCUAUCGAUUAAAUGCUCGAGUUAAUUUGUUUGAAACUGAAGCUCAAUUAAUUGCUCGUUAUAUAGGAGGCUUGAAAUUAUUCAUUCAAGAUCGACUGGCCCUUCAAGAGAUUUGGACCAUGACAGAUGCAGUCAAUUUAGCAAUGAAAGUGGAAAAUCAGAUGAAUAGAACUACAGCCCGUACUCAAGGAAAUUUUCGACGACCAAUUCAAGAAACUUAUACUACUUCAAAGGGUGCAACAACCUCAAAUAACAACAACAAUAACCACAAGGAUGCUAGUCCAGUCCAAAAUUCAACACAAAAUCAAAGAGGAACUUCUGCUCCUGUUCGAUCUAACACCUAAGGCAGAAAUCACAUACAGCCACGAGCCAAUAAUGACCCUUAUGCACGUCCUAAUCUGGGAAAGUGCUUCCGGUGCAAUCAACCAAGUCAUCUUUCAAAUAGCUGUCCAAACAGACGAUCUAUUAACUUUGUAGAAGAAGACGACAGUGGGGGAAGAGCAAAAUCUUGAAGACAAUGAUUAUAAAGGUGGUGAUGUUGUAGAUGCAGAUACAGGGGAAGAAUUGGCGUGCAUUAUCCAACGCCUUUUGCUUGCUCCAAAAAGGUCAGAUACCUCGCAACGACACAAGAUCUUCAGGACUCGAUGCACUGUUCGUAAUAAGGUAUGCAAUGUGAUCAUUGACAGUGGUAGCAGUGAGAAUGUCUUUUCGAAAGCAGUGGUAAAGGCGAGAGACACCCUUCGCCAUACAAGAUUGCAUGGAUUAAAAGGGGCUUGGAAGUUCAAGUUUUAGAGAUUUGUAAGGUUCCUUUGUCAAUUGGAAAAUAUUACAAAGAUGAAAUUAUAUGUGAUGUGGCGGAUAUGGAUGCUUGUCACAUUUUAUUGGGUCGUCCAUGGCACUAUGAUGUUGAUGCCACUUAUAAGGGACGAGAUAAUACUUUCAUAUUUUGGUGGUUAAAUAGGAAGAUCGUUUUGGUACCACAAUCUCAACCUGUGGAAACCAAUCCUGCCAUCAAGGAAGAGAAACCACUUUUUACCAACAUCUCAGGCCCAUAAUUCUUGGAACAAGUAAAAGAGCCUCACACAGUAUUGGCCUUGGUUGUUAAAGGUCCAUCAGAAGUAACUAUACAGAUUCCUACCAAAGUUCAAAAAGUACUUGCUGAUUUUGCCAAAAUAGCACCCGACAAGUUACCAAACGAGUUGCCCCCUAUGCGAAAUAUCCAACAUCAUAUUGAUUUGGCACCUGGAGCUAGUUUACCUAACUUGCCACAUUAUCGCAUGAGCCUAGUAGAACACGAAGAGUUGCAGCGACAGGUUAAUGAAUUACUUGAUAAGGGGUUAAUCCGCCAAAGUAUGAGUCAUUGUGCAAUUCCUGUUUUACUCAUUCCAAAGAAGGAUGGCAGUUAGCGAAUGUGAAUAGACAGUCGUGCCAUUAAUAAAAUAACAAUCAAGUAUCGCUUUCCCAUCCUGCGUCUCAAUGAUAUGCUCGAUAGGUUGGAAGGUGCAGUGAUAUUUACCAAGCUUGAUUUAAGGAGUGGCUGUCAUCAGAUCCGAAUACGCCCUGACGAUGAGUGGAAAACAACUUUUAAAAUAAAAGAUGGUCUCUACGAGUGGUUAGUGAUGCCAUUUGGGCUAUCGAACGCACCGAGCACAUUUAUGCGAUUGAUGAACCAAGUUCUUCACCCAUUUGUGGGAAAAUUUGUGGUGGUUUAUUUUGAUGACAUUCUUAUUUACAGCAAAAAUGAAGAUGAGCACCUAGCACAUCUUACAGAAGUUUUUUCAGCCCUUCAGGAAAAUAAAUUGUAUAUUAAUCUCAAAAAGUGCAGCUUUAUGACCGACCAACUUUUAUUUCUUAGUUUUAUGGUGGGAAAAGAUGGUAUUCAAGUUGAUGAGACAAAGAUGAAAGCAAUACGCGAGUGACCAGCUCCUAAAACGUGCGAGAAGUACAGAGCUUUCAUGGAUUAGCAACUUUUUAUAGGUGCUUCAUUCGAGGGUUCAGUACAAUUAUGGCACAUAUCACCGAUUGCCUAAAAAGGGCAAAUUCCAGUGGGACAAAGAACAGGAAGUUAGUUUUGAGACAAUAAAAAACAAGUUAUGCACUACACCGGUGUUGGCACUACCUAGCUUCGAGAAAAUAUUUGAAGUUGAGUGUGAUGCUUCAGUUAUGGGCAUUGGAGCAGUGUUGUCCCAAGAAGGCCGUCCAAUUGAAUUUCUCAGUGAAAAGGUUAGUGAACCACGACAAAAGUGGACUACUUAUGAAUUGGAAUUUUAUGUCGUUAUUUGAACAUUAAAGCAUUGGGAACAUUACUUGGUUUAACGAGAAUUUGUGUUGUUUACGGAUCAUCAAGCUUUGAAGUUUAUUAAUUCUCAAAAAAUAAUGAAUCGAAUGCACGCUCGAUGGAUGACCUUUUUGCAGAAAUUUACUUUUGUUAUAAAACAUAAAUCUGGCCAGAAUAAAGUAGCAGACGCAUUAAGUCGACGUGCAUCUCUUUUAGCUACAAUUAGUACGGAAGUAGUUGGGUUCGAUUGUUUAAAGGAACUAUAUGCAACUGAUGAGGAUUUUGGAGAUAUAUGGGCUCGAUGCAAUGAUAAGGAAUUUAUACCCGAUUACCUUCUUCAGGAAGGAUUCUUGUUUAAGGGAACGCAAUUAUGCAUUCCUCGUUCUUCCUUGCGUGAGCACUUGAUUCGAGAACUACAUGCAGGCGGUUUAGGCGAACAUGUUGGUCGAGAUAAGACAAUCAGCUUUGUUGAAGAGAGAUUUUAUUGGCCCCAGCUCAAAAGAAAUAUUGGUCGUUUUGUCCAACGUUGCCCAAUUUGUUAGAAAGCUAAUGGACAAGCUCAAAAUAUUGGCCUUUAUACCCCUUUGCCUAUUCCAGAUACAAUAUGGCAAGAUCUUACAAUGGAUUUUGUUUUCGGUCUCCCACAAACUCAACGAGAAGUUGAUUCUGUUUUGGUCGUAAUUGAUCGAUUUUCAAAAAUGGCUCACUUCAUUCCUUGUAAGAAAACAGCAGAUGCUUCUUACGUGGCUAAUUUAUUUUUUCGCGAGAUCGUUCGCCUACAUGGUAUCCCUCGUUCUAUAACUUCUGGUAGAGAUGUAAAGUUUCUAAGUCACUUUUGGAGGACAUUGUGAAAAAUAUUUGACACUUCUUUGAAGUUUAGUAGCACAAAUCAUCCCCAAACAGAUGGUCAAACAGAAGUGGCUAAUCGAACUCUUGGCAAUAUGAUUCGAGCAGUUAGUGGAGAUAAACCAAACAAUGGGAUGCUGCCCUUCCACAAAUUGAGUUUGCUUUUAACAGUAUGCCUAAUCAAUCCACUAAGAAGACUCCCUUUGAAGUCGUUUACACUAAUGUUCCAAGGCAUACAGUAGAUUUGAUUCGACUUCCUAAUGUCAAUCCUAAUGCAGAAGAGUUUGCUGAACGUAUUCAAAGAAUUCAUCACAAGGUAAAACAAAAUUUAGAAGAUGCAAAUAUUCGUUACAAGGUUGCUGUUGACCAACACAGGCGUCUUAAGCUAUUCAACAAAGGUGAUUUAGUGAUGGUUCAUCUCAGAAAAAAUCGUUUUCCUGUUGGCACUUACAAUAAACUUAAAGAUAAGAAGACUGAUCCUUUUCACAUUCUUCAAAAAAUUGGCGUUAAUGCUUAUAAAGUUGAUCUUCCAGCAGAUAUGAACAUUUCCAAUACUUUUAAUGUUGCUGAUAUUUAUGAAUACUUUCCUCCAGAUGAAUUUUCCUUGCAAACACAAAACUCGAGGGCGGGUUUUCUUUCAAGUGGAGGGGAUUGAUGUAGUACAACUACAAUAUGAUUCCUACUACAAUUAUAUUUUAUAUUUUCUAAGAGUUUAUUUUCUUGUGUUAGGGCUUUUAUUUUCUUGAGAGUUUUAAUUAGAAUAAAGUUUUAUUAGUUCACUAGUUUCCUUAUUUCAAUUUCCUAGUACUAUUAGGAAUAGGAACAAUCUGCCUAUAUAUAUAGAAGCUAUUGUACAAUUUUCAAUCAAUUACUCAUUAUUCAAUCAAUAAAGCAAAUUAUUCCUAUAUCGUUUCAUAUUUCUUUCAUUAUAAUUCUUAUUACAAGAAUUCAAACACGCUUCCGCACCAAUAAAAGUUUUUAACAAAUUUUAAUAAAAAAUUAUGAAUAUAUAAUUAUAAAGUUAAUAAAUUUGUAAAUCUUAUAAAAGUGUGAUUAUAAUUGAAAUUUGAUCCUUUAAAAAAUUGAGUAACAAUAGGAUAUCCAAGCUAGGCCACCUAAAUCAGAGCAUCUGAUGGGACCUCCCCUCUUCUCUUAAAAAGUGAAUCAUCACAGCUUAUAAAGCCAAGCGAUCCGUGAGGAUGAACGUGCACUCACGUGGAUGUGUGGGUUCCGCGUGAAUAAAAUAAUGUCAGACCUUUAUGUGUGUGUAUACGGUCAUUCCCAAUGUUAAACCUGAUAUUCAAACCAAAGUUUGUACAAUGUGUACGCUUCAAAUCUGCAAAUUGAAGUUAAUCCAUGAUGUUGUUUUAGGGUUAAACUGCUUGGACAUGGGCUUGUCCCCAUAGCAUUGCCCGUUGUUUUAACACUUUUUGACUUCUCGAUUUUGGCUUUGAUUGAAUGCACCAUUUAGCCCUUGCUUGACCCCAUUUUUAAUCAUAAAAAUACAUUUUUUAUUAAUGUAAUGAUGAAAAAUAUAUAGCUAAAAAAUAAAUUAAAAAAAUUUUCUUGUAAUAUUAUUUUAUUGAAAAAUGUGUAGUUAAAAUGAUGUCAAAACACUAUUCAAAAAUAUAUUUUUCCAAAAAUUGAGAAUGAAACAAGGGCAUACUUCAGAUGAGAUGGUUUGUGACCCCUUAUGUUGAAGUGCUGCAUUCUUAAUGCCUGUUUGGUGUAGGUUUUUGAAAAUAAAUUUUUGACUAAUGUAAUUUAAAAUUAAAGAAAAAAAAUUAGUGAAUGCAAAAUUAUUUUACUGGUCAUGGAGUUAAAAACGACUUCAAAAGGUGAAAUUUAAAGAAUUCGUACCAAACAGUCUCUUAGUCUCAACAAACGGAAUUGCCUCUGAAAGUUCACUUUAAUUUGUUGAAAAAACCUUUAUUGCCAAUUCCUUAGGAAAUUUGCAGCUGCAGUUUUUUAAUAUUUGUCCUUGGAGCACUUGAGUCCCCUAUCAAAUUUUCACCUUAAAGUUCCCAAAAUUUCAAUUUAUUGCUGGUAUAAUUUUCAUUUCCACUGCACAUUUUCACGUCCUACAACAAUCACUUUUGUAAUUUACAUAUUGCCAAUUUUGCCCUCAAAAUUCAUACAAAUUUUAAUUGUUAGCAUAAAGCUGUAGGGUAAUUUUGUAUUGAUCAACUCCAACUAACAAGUCAUGAUUUGUGAAACUUGACCUCCAAGCGAUAUGCCAAUCUCAAUCACUGGUUAUUAAUGUUCAUAUGUCCCAAAUUAAAUGAAUUAAAAUAAAAUUAAGUUAAAAAAAAAAAAAAAAAAAAAUAUGCCAACCAUAUGUCCCAAAUUAAAUGAAUUAAAAUAAAAUUAAGUUUAAAUAAAAAAAAAAGACUCUAAAUUACAUGCAUCUCAAGAAGUCGGUGCAAGGGCAUUACUAGAAGAUACCAAUAAUAUCCGAAUAUGGUUAAGACCUAACAUGAACAGAAGAAUACCAUUAUGUAGCUUAAGACAAAAUUUAAUUGAGUCAUUUCAUAUGAUAAAAACCAUAGUGCAACUUGUCAAAUAUCAUGUAAGAUAUAAGCAUGCCAAAGAGGUAAAGAUAUUUGAAUACAAUUUGGCAAAUACAGACAGACUGGCAUAAAUUUUUCUAUUUCUCCCAACUCAACUAAAUUCCUCUGCCAACUAACGAUUCUUGAGCAUUUGAUGUUGAAGUUGCAUGAACUUCAGCUGUUGAAAUUAGCUUAUGGGCCAUUGAGGAUUUCUUUUUAAUUAUUAUGAGAAAUACACAAAAGACCAUAUGUGAAGCCCUUUAAGAAAUAAAAAGUACUCUUCAAGACUUCAAUACUGUUUUCAAGUUAAUGCAGCUUCAACUUCAAUUUCAUAAAAACUGUAAUAGAAAUAGAAAAGAGAGAGAAAUGAAUCACAUGCAUUUCUCCACCAUGCGCGACGGAUCAGCCCAUCCUAUUAAAAAGGCUUUUAAACAGAAGUCCAAAAAGAAACAUGCAUGGCAAUGGCCAUGUCCCUGUUACCAAGUCCAAUCUCCUGCCUCGUGCAUCCAUGUGAUCUAUAACUGAAAAUUCUGUAAAAAAUUAAUUUUAACUUCACAGUUCUAUGAUUGCACUACCUUCAAAGAGUAAAAUGAAUUUUAACUGGUACCGAACCCAAUUCUUAAAUGGUCUGAAACAACAAAAUCAACCAGCAAAAGUCAGUCAGGCAACAUUCGACUAACGAAGACACUAAUGCCCAUGCAGUGUUUGGGAACUGUUUCAGAAUCUACUUAUACAGAGAUGGAGGACUUUAUCGACAGAAAAUUCAUGUUUAAUUCUUUCGGGAGACUAUAUGCAAUUGUGUUGCCUUCAUCAAAAAGCUAAGAAGCUUGUAACAUUUUGGCAUAUGAAGUACCAAUCUUUAAAUAGAGCUUCCCAUUAGAAUUGCUACCACACAUCCCAGCAAAGCACCAGCAGCAACCUGCAGUUUAUUAGUCAAACUAUUAUCAGGCAACAAACUGGGUAAAGGGAAGAAAGAUAUAUAAGUUUCAAUUAAACUCUACCAUCAAUUAGUUGGCAAUUCAUGUCUCAACGCAUCUAAAUAAUACCUGAGGCGCCAAUGAAAACGCCACCUAACAAGACCAGAGAGAGAGAGGAGAGAGGAGAUUCACAGGGAGAAGGGGGGUGUGGUUGCUUUGAGUCUUUGACCACAGAAAGUAAACUUAUAUCUAGUGCGCAAUUCACCUUAGACAUGAGGUUAUUGAGCAUUUGACCUAUAAAACUACACACCAGAUUUACUUUACCUGACCUCAUGAAAAAGGCAGAUGGUAUUGUGUGUAGGAGACUGGGAGUUAAUUCACCAAUUGGAUAACAAGUGAAUAAGCUUGAAUAUGGACAACAUAGUGACUAGAGCACAUGGAGAGUUCAACGUUACUGACAACCUCUACAGUUAGUAGACCAAAUCCAGCUAGCUAAGGCAUGCAUCCAAUGCUCCAGUCUCAUAGAUUCUCUCAAGCCAGGACACUUCAUACUCUCAGUGAUCACUUCAAUAGUGACAGAUGAUUUGCAUGUUAAGUCAGUCCAGUACCUCUCUAUUAACAAGAAAAUGCACAUUUGUAACCUUUUAUUCUCUUCAUCUCCAUCUAUACCGAAUGGAAAUGGGACUUUACAAGACAAAAGUUGUAUGGGAAAAAAAAGAUCAUAGAGCUCUACUCAAAGACAUGGAGACAGGUUACCCAGAAUCCUUCACCAGGGCAGCCAAUAUUCUGUCCAUCUCCUGCCUAUUAUCAUACUAUCUAUCUAUAUAUUCAAACAUAUUCUAGACCAAGUACACUAUUCCGACGAAGCGCCCAACUCUAUUUAUUUGCUAAAUCUAUUUGUUCACGUCAAUGGAAAAAAAGGAAGAACCAUCUAAAACUCAAAAAGUUCUAAUUACAUGAUUUCUUAUGAUGUUAGUCCGUACCAGUAUCCACAAAAGUAAUUAACUUACAAAAAUGAUACGGGAUAUAUUGGCAAAAUUGAUGUGAACUAACGUAGCAAUAAUAGCUAUGAAACCCACAAAAGAUUUAAUCAACACAAGAAAGCCAAGAAAUCAAAGUUUAGAAUUUGAUUCAAAAAUAUUGAACCAAAGAACCAACAGAAUCGCCAACAAUAUGCUGACCACGUAAUCACAAGAUUUAGGAAUCUCAUCUAGAUUGUUUGAACGCCAGAAGAAAUAAUUCUUGAUAAGCUCGUAAAAUUAAUUCAAUGAAGAACAAGGAAUCAAAGCAAAAAUUGCUCACAAAAUAACCUCUCAAUUUAAUGUAUGGAUGAAAGAUGUUCUACAAUGAAAAUAAUAACUUCUAUUUAGAAGGAACCCAUAAAACCCCAGUUGAAACGAAAUUAAGGUCUAAACAUACUAAAAGUUACCAUAAAAUAAUCUUAACACAAAUAAAAGAUUUCGUGAAAAUUGAAAAAAUCACACACGAUUUUAAUCUACGCGGCCGCAUAGUUAUAUCCUAUGCGGUCGCAUUGGUCACUUGAAUCCCUAUGCUCCACUCGUUGCUUGGUCACAUGCGACCGCAUGGUUCAUAUAACUAUGCAGUCACGUUUGAUUUAACGCGUCUCUUUUCUCGAGCCCAACACGAAGCUUGUUCCUUUGCUCACCAUGGAUGAAACAACAAGCAAUAUCAUUGCUUCUUUAAUCCUCUUUGCUUGCGACCUAGUUAUAGGACAAAAGUGAUUUUGAAAAAAAAUAAAAUAAAAGUAAAACAAGGGCUAUAUCUUCCAACUUUUUCUCUAAAGUAACCAAUGCAGGAUUGCAAAAGGGAAAGUCAGUAGCUUAAACUCCAAGGAAACAUACUAAAACUUAAUUUUAAAUUUUGAAAGUUUGAUUAUU